Molecule: long non-coding RNA, 61097 nt
Filed under: Zea mays
Lineage: Eukaryota; Viridiplantae; Streptophyta; Magnoliopsida; Poales; Poaceae
Description: long non-coding RNA (ZMAY_LNC002997)
Source: RNAcentral
CAUAUUAUUUCCAGGGCAUACGAUAGUUUGAUUAUCUGUGGAUGAUUUCUUUCUCAUUCAAUGCCCUUUUUCAGUCGUCUCGAAGAUAGAAAUUUUGCAUUUUUAUCUAUGGGGUCACAACCAAGGUCGUGCUAAAUCCAGGAAUUUCAUUUAAUUCAUUUUUUAUACUAUAGAAAAGAAAUAAAGAAAUAAACAUUUGAAUUCAGCAUUAUUCCAUGAUUUCUAUUUCAAAGCCUAUUUUUCAGGGAAAACCCCUCUUUUCUCAUUCGCUCUCUCUAUUGCAUGGGUGGAAGAACAAAAAUAGAAUUCUGAAAAAAGCACCAUAAAACUUUAUUUAGUAGUGAUAAUUUCCCCUACAUGUGUGCUUGAAUGAUUUAAAUUCAAGCUUACACACAUGCAUGAGUAUGAAAUUUGUGGAAAUAUUGUCAAUGAUGUUAAGGUAUAUAAGAUAAAGAUGUACCUUUGUAACAUGUCCACUCAGUAAAAACAUAAUGAUGACAUGUCGUGCCACGUUAGAGCACACUAAUGAAAGUUCGAGGACUGACAUAACAUUAAAGUUUGGAGACCCAAGUGACACAACAUUUUAAGUUGGGGACCCUAAGUUGCUCCAACAUGGCAUGCCACGUCGGAAUCCGGUUUUGUAAUCCCGGCUUUUGAUGGUUUUGUAUGGAUUGACAAAGUUCGAGGACCUGGGUGGUAAGUGACACAACGUGUCAAGUUCGUGGACCGCUAGUGUACUUUACUCUAUUAGAUUCAUACAAUAAUUAGUGUAUGUGUUUUGUAUAUGUGUCUAGAUUCAUUAUCAUUUAUUAUAAUGUAGACAUAAAAAGAAAGUGAUAAAACGAACUCUAUUGUGGGAUGGAGGGAGUAUAAUUCAUUCAUUCUAUAUACCUAGAUUUUGUUGUUGUUUCUAUGUUUUCUUCUCAUACAUUACAUGUACUGCAGAUCAUUCCACAGAAAAGCAAAAAGACCAUUGAGCAGAUUAAGAAAAAUAUUUGCCCGGUAUGGAUAAAUUUCAAUAGUGCUAUUCCUAUAUGGUACUCCUUCCGUCCAAAAAAUAAAGUUUGGUUUACCUUUUUAGUUGAUUCAUACAAUAAUUAAUGUAUUUGUUUUACAUAUGUGUCUAAAUGCAUCACCAUCUAUUUGAACAUACAGGUUAGGCAUUGAUAGAAUUAUACUUCCAGUUUAAAACCCUUACCUUGAUUCACUGAUUUCUCCUAGGCAUUAAGUGUGAGACAGAUAUAUCGCUUAUGUACGAUGUACUGGGACGACAAAUAUGGUACUCAUAGUGUAUCAGCUGAGGUACAUUCUCAUCUUCUCUUUUGUGACAUGCAGUCAUGCUUCUUGCUUUCAGCUAACUCAGUGUGUUCUUUGCAGGUUGUUGCCAGAAUGAGGGACAUGGUGAGUAAUGACAUGCAAAAUCCUGUCUCUAAUUCAUUUCUUUUAGAUGAUGACUUAAGGUUAGUUGUCCCUGGAACUUCAGUUCAUGAACUUAUAUAUCGUUCUGUCUUAACCUUUUGCAUGAUUCAUGCACUCAUUAACUUACAUCUAGUCUAUCCUUCCUAAUUUACAAUUGCAGCAUUCCUUUCACAACCGAGGAAAUUGCAGAGCAAGUACCAGAUGUUGACAUGUCAAACAUCGAAACUCCCGCAUCUCUUCGUCAUGUUCAUUCUGCUCAGUUCUUGACGCAGCACCUUCAGCCACCUUAUACGUCUCGAUGAAUUGCCUAGGUUUUUGCUUUGGUAACAAUUAGUGAUGCCGAGGUAGUGAACUUAGAGGAUUUGAUAGGUCGGUGGUAACUAUAACCAUCAUUGUUGAUUUAAUCCAUGCUAAUAUUCAUUCCACCGUAUGCUUUUUUGUUUUAUAUUUUUGACAUGCCUCGUGUCAUCAUGUCAAGCCCAAAGUAGACUACAUUCUUUGUAGGUCGCUGUCAAAUUUCAGAUCCAUUAUCUAGUCAUCAAUCCAUCAUUAUGCUGAGUCCUUUAUAUUGCUAAACCUGGGAUAUACUUGUGGUAUUUUUCCUCAUCCCUGACCUGGACAACAGAAGUUCGUAUUAUAGUGAUGACAACAGAAGUCUAGCGGUAAUGAUAAUGACACAAGUAUCAUGAUUUUCUUCAAGUAAAAAAAAUUCAUGGCCAAUUUUCAAGUUUUUACCUGGCCUAAAACACCGAUGACCUAGCAAAUGAGAGUUACUAGCAAACAUGUGCAUACGUUGCAUGGACUCCAUAAUUUGUUGCAUGUUCGCUUGAGCUUUAAGUCGCAGCUGAUUUUCAAGUUUUAUCUCCAGUACUAGCAAUCAAAACGGUGAGAUAAGCAGCCGCUGCAGCAGCCGACCGCCCACGAAUUGUUAAUAUCUUGGAAUCGAUGGCUUCAGAUAUCUUUCAAUCGGAAUUUGUGAAAGUGAAAAAAAAGACGGAUAGAAGAAUACGGACAUAGAGGGUGUGAGUGUGAGAGCGCUGUGGGAAGAAAUAAAUGCAUGGAAGGAAUAGAUCUCGUGAUAUUGACCGGAUCGAUGAGCUCUUUUUUUUAAACGGCAGGAGCUCUGCCCAUUAUUUAAGGGAAAAGAGUUUAGAGAGUACAAACAACAGUCUGAGACCGGACAAACCACACCCGAGCACACUCAAAGGGAGGCUAAGCCCCACACCCUAAAUGGCUAGCAGGAAGCAGCAAUAUGAAAAUUACAUGGGAAGCAAGGCCCGCCUAAAUUGUGAAACAUCUUCUUUAAUUCUUAAGGCGACUUGGACCGGAGGAAGGGCGACGCUUUCGAAAAUCCUGCGAUUCCUCUCCUUCCAAAUGUUCCACAUUGUGUAAAUCACGAUUCUAUUGAAAGCGCGUUUCUGAUUUUUUGGUAGUAGGGGAGUCGCAGCUUCCCACCACUAUGAAUUGAAACAUAUUACUAACUCCGUUUUUCUUAUUUUUCAUAUUUUAGUUUAAAAAUAAAUUAACGGACAAUAAAUUUUCGAGAACAGAGAUAGUAAAUCGCAGCUAGACGAUGACAACUACACGGUAGCGAUGUCACUCUCCAGCUUGUCCAGACGACCGAUGUAUACGACAACAUAUGUCAAUCAAAUUUCUGAAAUCGCUAUACACAGACAAUAGCGCGAGUCCGAGACAUAGGGAAUCUUGGACCGAGUGGAUCAGAUGUAACUAACGUCAGUCAGAUAUAACUCUAUCCACUGUUUUUAAUUUGUCGCGAUUUAGUUUAAAAAUUAAUUAGUAGAUAAUAAAUAUUAGAGAAUGGAUUUAGUAAUACUCUUCUAAAUGGUAAAUGCAAAGCUACCGGCUUCUGCCUAGCUAGCUGGCUAGCUUAAAUAGUUUCUUUGCGGAAGCUCCUGCGUCCGGACGGCUACCUCCCGCAUGGUGUGAUUCCUGCAAAAAAACAUUACGUAUGUUGCGUAAUAACUUUUAAUCUUCAAGUGAAGUAAAUAAAAAACUUCUGCCGAACCAUUGCCACCAGGUCGGAUAUGACGUGUCGUUCAAUUUCCAAAGAAAAAAAAGGAAAAAAAAAGGAAGUAUUUGCAGCAUAUAAAAUCAUCGUAUGCAACAUCACAAACUUCCUAAUGCAAUAUCUAAAAUAUCAUGUACUACAACAUCAAAACUAUCCACUACAACAUCACAAAUUCAACGAUGGAAAGCCUCUGAAACUAGAUAAUCGCGUGCAACAUCACAAAUUGUCAACUGCAGUAUCACAAAAUCAGCAUAAAAAACAAAACAUCUCGAUCAAAACAUUUUUCAAUGUUGCAACAUAUGGAAAAGGUCAUGCCAACACCUAAAUUCACUUGCGAAAGCAGAGAGAAAUGGCUAAAACUCAUAUGCUCUGUGUUCGCUGCAGCGAAUGCAACGGCUGCAAGUCUCCUCACAGGGGCACUGCAGCAGCAGCCACUGCUUUAGUGCAAUCGAAUAGGCCCUAAAAUUUUGUGACGUUUAGAUAAUUUAUUGCAACAUCCAAAAACCAUAUAUUGUAACAUCCCCAAUGUCUCAUGCAACAUAGAGAAACAAUAAAUACAACAUCAUAAAUCAGCUAUUGUAACAUGUUGGUCAUGCAGGCUUGGAUGUGCAACAACAAGGGGAUGUGUUUGAGGGUGGAAGUUUCAGUUCCAACUACAUGUUCUAGUCUGCCACCAUCCAUCUUUAAAGGGAUCAUGGCACAUAAGAGAGAGUGAAUUAUGCUUUCUAAAAGCUUAUACUCUAACUCGGCCUCUAUUUUCUUAUUAACAAAAUCUAUGCAAAGAUAAUCCAUCUGGAUAUGUAAAAGACUUGUUCAAUUCAAAGACCUAUAAUUUGGUUUUGUUAAUUGAAUGGUCACUAGUGAACUUAUGCUUUCAAUGAGUUAUGAUUGAGCUAGAGUCCACACCAAGGUGGUGAGCAAGGCUAGGAGAUGGAUGAAGGGUGAUCACUCCAUAUGAAGCAAGCUCACACUUGUUGAGAAGAUGAAGAGGUGAAAACAAGCUCGAAGGGUAUGUGCUAAGGAUUUUCAUUUCACUAGUUGAGACACAAUAAGUGUAUGCUCAGAUUUAAUAUAGAUAUCCAUACUAUUAAGAGGAGAAAUCUAAAGUAAAAUGGUUAUAUAAGUGAUGUAGGAAAUGGUGACACUUAAGAGGGGGGUGAAUUAGAACUCCUUAGAAACUAUCUCUAAACUAGACCACAAAUAAAUGACUAGAGCAAAACCCAUGCAAAUAAACAAACUAAAAUGUGCAAACUAGGUUUUGUCUAAGUGUUGCUAUCUCUACCGCAAAAAUAGUUUUGCAACCUAAGUUCCAAUCCUAAUUAUUCUAACUAGAAAGUAGAGAUUGAAACUUAAGUACUUAAUGUAAAUGCAGAAGGUAAAGAGCAAAGGAAGAGAUGCAAAACUCUAGUGGACGAUGCUAGUAUUUUUACCAAGGUAUCCAAAACCACGCAAGGUCCCGACUAAUCCUCGUUGGUGCCCCUACGCAAAGGGUAGCCCACGUGAGGGCCAAGCACCAUGAACGAGUAACUUCGUUGAGAGCAACUGGACUUUUCCACACACAAGUGGUGCUCCGCUUCUGUCCUCCUCUCGGAUGCUCCUCGUCGUCUUCACUAUCGAGCUUCCGGGUGAAACGCCAUGGGCGUCGUUCCCUCCGAUACACGGUGGCGGUCUUGGCACAACCGCGGUUGUCACGGUCUCACAAGACUCUCUCCCCACUUGGUACAAUUACAACGGUUCGCGUAAGAGCAGAGGGGUUAUGUGGUUUUUUCUAAACUCACUCAACUAACUAGGGAUCAUCUAGAGCAAGCGCAAUAGCGGUCUAACUAAGCUAAGCACUUUGCAAAGCACCUACGCUAAUCAUCAAGUGAUUCUAAUAUGCACUUAUGUGUUGGAGCUCUUGGAAAUGUGCCUCUAUGCUUGGGAUAUGUUUCUUGUGCUCCUCACUCCUCAAAUGCCAGGUUGGAUGGGGUAUAUAUAAGCCCCAACUCGAAACUAGCCGUUGGAGAAGAAACAACAGCUUUCUGUUCACACUGGACAAUCUGGUGUGCAUAGCCGUUGGAUUUGACUAUUGCAAUUCAACUGUUGGCAUGUUGACUUCUCACACCAGAUAGUUCGACCUCUAGCAUCGGACAGUCCGGUGUCUCUCCUCCAUAAUGCCACCUAGAACUAGUCAUUGGGCUCCUGUUCCCUAGUGCACCAGACAGUCCGGUGAGCCUCCAAUGCACCUCUAGUGCACAGGCUCACAUCCCUUCUCAGUUUUGUUCACUUCUUUUGAUUGAGCUUCUUUUGGACUUGUGCCUUGGACUUGGACUUGAUAUUUAUUGGUCUUCUAAUUAUCUUUUAGGUCUUCUUUUCAGGUGUUGCAUCCUCAAAGCCUUAGUUCAAUCCACUUCGCAUCCUGUGAACUACAAAAAACAAACACUUGGGAAACAUUAGUCCACAUGGUUAUGUUGGUUAGAUAUUGCUACACAUAAUCAAUGUUAACUAAAUCAUUUAAUUAAUGACUUAUGUAAUAUAGUAAAACUAUGCUUUUUAGCAUCAUGGAUCUAGGGACUAGAGCAUGGAGUUUAUUGCUCUAGAUUCCUCUCCCUACAAAUGAUCCUAAAGUAGCCACCUAGGAGGUAUUGUACAACCACAAACAUUGCAUGGCUCUUAAUCAAGUAACUACCACAUCUCUAUCUUGUUGUGGUUAUAAAAAGGCUCAAGAGGGGGUGCCAAGUUAGGUACGACUCUUGUCCUACCAUGGUGUGUGUUAGGCUAUAAAUCAUUGGUGUGCCACUCUUGAAGGAGAGCAUCUAUAUAUGCUUGGUCAAUCCAAAACCUUAGUACUUGAUAUAUAAUUAGGGCGUCUAGUGAAAGAUUACAUAGUGAAACCCUACCAUACUUCCUUGGAAGAAGUGAUGUUGGCCUUACAAACCUUGACAUUUAGGAAUCAUGACUCAUGGAUAUAGUUUUACACAUUCUGCAUAAUGAAUUAUUGACUUAUUAUAAGAAUCUGCUCUUGGAUAUGAGUGGCUUAAAUGCUUCUUGAUUAUUGGUUACCUUGGUAACUUGUAUGAUAUGUGAAUGAUCGAAUAUUGACUAAUAUUACUUUCACUUGGGUAGGGUUAUCUUAAAGUAGUGACUCAAAUUUAAUAAAAUAUGAUCAACCAAAAAUACUAACCAUGGUCAAAUAUUAUAUAGCCUUUUAGCAUUCAUCCAAAUUUGUUAUUCUUGUUAAGAAUGGUGCGCUUACGCUUGUGUUAUAUUUAAUGAAAACCCUAGACAUGUAUUAGAUGUUGGAUAUGAGGAGUUUCCUGAAGAUGUCCAUGAUUUCUAAUUAUUGUCCAUCGCUCAUAGAUCCCUAUGGAUACCUAGAAUUACCAAAUUGUUUGUGUUGCUUAAUGCAUAUAAGCAUAACUAUGUGUCGUGUCCAGUGCGGGGAAAGGCGUGCUAGAUCAGUAAUAGUGAUGGCACAAUGGGGAAGAUACAUAAUUUACCUUAAUAUCUCUAUAGUAUAGUACUAAGUGGUAUGGGUACUAUGUGGGCCCAGUUUGUAUGUGAGAUUUGCACGCUAUUGUAAAAAGGGAUCCUGUGAACCAAAACGGAACAUGCAAGAAAAACAGAAUCAGAACACUACAGUUUUGUCUAGUGCGGGGAAAGGCAUGCCACAUCAGCAACAGUGAUGGCACAAUGGGGAAGAUACAUAGUUUACCUUAGCAUCUCUACAAUAUAGUACUAAGUGGUGUGGAUAUCAUGUGGGCCCAGUUUGUAAGUGAGAUUUACAUGCUAUUGUUAAAGGGGAGUCUGUGAACCAAAACGGAAAAUGCAAGAAAAACAGAAUUAGAACACUACCACGGAGAGCAACUUCCUCCACAAGUUGACAUACACGUGUGCUCUUCCUUCCACCAUCUCUCUCAAGUACUUUGUAAGUCCAUAUAUCCCGGAGAUGAAUUCAAAACUGCUUUUAAAACACACCAUGGGCAUUUUCAGUUCAGGGUCAUGCCUUUUGGCUUGACCAAUGCGCCAGCUACUUCUCAAUGCCUUAUGAAUGACAUCCUUGCCCCUUUUCUCAGAAAGUUUGUCCUAGUCUUCCUAGAUGACAUUGUAAUCUAUUGUGCCACUUUGGAACAACACCUAUCACACAUCAGACAAGUUCUGUCUCAAUUGAGAUCAUACCAACUUUUCAUGAAAAUGAGCAAGUGUUCCUUUGCCCAAAGUUCUCUGAACUAUUUAGGGCAUAUCAUAUCAAUUGAAGGGGUGGUAAUAGAUUCCUCUAAGACCAUAGCAAUGCAGAACUGGUCCAUUCCAACCAAUAUCACUGAAUUGAGAUGAUUCCUAGGGUUUACUAGCUACUACAGGAAGUUUAUUCAGCACUAUGGUUUGAUUGCUCACCCUCUCAUUAACCUUCUCAGAAAACACCAUAUUUUGUGGACCACACGAGCUACUGAGGCCUUUUUACAAGUGAAAGCUAUUAUGCGAAGUGCUCCUAUCUUGGCUCUGCCCGACUUCACCGAGUAGUUUGUGGUGGAGACUAACACGUGUGACCUAGGUAUAGGUGCAAUUCUCAUGCAAAGAGAUAGACAUAUUGCUUUCCUCAACAAACCCUUAGGCAACCAACACCAGAAACUUCCAAUAUAUGAAAAAGAAUUCCUUGCUCUCAUUUUACUAUUGAGAAGUGGAGGCCAUACUUGCAGAGACAAGAAUUCUUGAUUAAAAUUUUGGCCACCAGAUCUUGGCUUAUCUCAUUGAGAAGCAUUUGCAUUGUGACAUGCAAAGGAAGACUACAACCAGACUAAUGGGCAUGCAGUUUAAAGUGAUCUAUAAGAAAGUCAAAGAAAAUGUGGUAGCUGAUGCUCUAUCUUGGGUCAGUCACCUUAUGGCAGUUGCUACUGUGGCCACAACCCAGUAGGUAUGGAUUCUAGAAGUCCUGAAUAGCUAUAUUAUAGAUCCUAUUGCUCAGACUCUUUUGGAAAAACUCUCAGUCCAUUCUCUAGAUGUGCACGGUUUUUCACUGUCCUAGGGAUUGAUCAGACAUCACAACAAACUUCGGAUUGCACUAAACACUGCUCUUCAAACCAAGUUGGUUCAUUAUAUGCAUUCUACAGUUAUUGGGGGUCACUCAGGUUCCAAGGCCACCUACCAGCACUUAAAGAAAUGGUGAUGACUAAUAUGCAAGCAGUUAUUAGGUGCAAGCGUGUAAACAACUCUCAUUAGUCCAUUAGAUCUAGAUCGAACCGUAUGUGUAAUCGUGGUUUGUUAGGAGCUUUUUUAUAAAGCCACGCGACGUGGUGGUGGGAGGAUUUAAAUGCUAAUUAUGACAUAUUGUUAGAUCUAGAUCUAACGGACCAAGAGACCUGCUUGCACGAUUGCACCUAAUGGCUACUUGCAUAUUAGUGGUUGCCUAAAGAAAUUAUUCCGAUGGAAGGGUAUGAAACAAGAUGUGGACACUUUUGUGAAGCAGUGAGAUGUAUGUCAGCAAGCAAAACAUGAACACACCCUCCGGUCGGGUUGCUUCAACCAUUACCAGUUCCUGCGGGAGCAUCGCAAGAUCUGACAUGGACUUCAUAGAGGGUCAUCCACCCUUGAAUGGCAGUAGCUCAAUUCUAGUGGUGGUUGAUGUUAAGGCCCAUGUGGCCCAUAUUAGUUGUGCCUAUAUAUUCUACUAAGUCAUUAGUACUAAUUGUACUCUCACCCACUAAUCUAAUGUUAGUAACAUGGUACCAAAGUAGGUUAGGGCCUAAACCCAAAUUUUUAGUCACCAUUGCGAUGUCUUUGUCCGUCAGGACACCAAGCCUUCUUCCUGGUCGUCUGAUCAUUGGUCGAUGGUACAGAUUAGAUCCUAUAUCUUAUGAAAUGGUAUGAAAUGUCGUCCGCUAGAUCUGGGGUCGAUGGCCAAAGAGACGACCACAUCUGCGCUACUCCCAGCCCUCCAAUCCAAUCUCGAUAGCCUGAUUUUUAUACGAUGAAGGGGUAUCUCUACUCUAAUUGCGGCGUCCAUGCAUGGAUCGACAGCCACGACUACUCCCCCCAGCCGACAGGCUUCCCACGGCGGAGCUCCUAGGCCACAUUGGCGCUCUUACCAGCGAGAGACAUUCCGGCUCACCGGUGUGGGGGACAGAUAUCCCCCAGGUCCACUAGAAGGCGAAAGGUCCUCGCGCGGGGCCUCGGGCCAGUUACCCUGCAAGGCCAUCCCUUUGUGGGUCGGGCAAAAGCUACUGGCAGAAUGGGCCGACCUAAGAAGGCGACGGACUCGAGCCCAAUCAGUCCAUCAAAUUGUGCACUAUCCAAAGAAACCGUCCGACUUUCCCACGCAUGGCGCCCUCAAAUGUCGUAGAUUAGGGAUAAGUCGGCGGGAUUUUCGGGAGAUCAGUUCAGUCAAUUCACUAUUAUUUAGGGGACAUGUGAUCAAUAUGUACGUAUGGAGUGCCCCACUGUCGUGUAUAUAAGGCCCAGGGGGAACCCCAUCAUUUUCAUUCCCAUCUACUUAUCUCAUUAGCUUUUCUCCAUUCAGGAAACACCGCUUGUAACCCACCAUAUACAGCUCCACCCUAGGAAGUAUGGUAUUACACCUCUCCAAGCGGCCCAAACAUGCAGAAAAUCGUCUGUCUCUCUCGUGUGUCCAGCACGAACCAUUGAGUUACAAUCAACAGCAUUGUCCUACCCAAUAGCACCGCAAGGGUAACCCUAGGUGUGCGGUCGGACUCUAAACACCGACAACCGGUGCUUCCUUCCCCAAACCCAAUAGCCUUAGGUGCACGGGGAGACAAGGCGAAACCAACCGAAGAGUCCUUAUCGGCGAGGGAGAUGCCAAUGCAGCGGUCCACUGCGAGCAGCGACUCCAUGACAGAUGCGACCGACGACGAGCAAUUCCACCGUCACCGAUUACGAAUCCUUUCCAGCAAUGCGUCGUUGUGCACCGCAAUCCUUUGUGAAGCCCCAAGGAACUUUCCAAAGCCAGGAAGAUGGUGUGGUGCGUAGUCGUCGGCCGUGUUAUCCUUUCUCCUCUCCCCUGCUUCACAGCGACAAAGAAGUUGAGGAAAGGAUGAGAAAGAGGUAUUCAAGGACCUGUUUGAGAUGAAACAGAGAAGUUGGGGAAAGGAUGAAAAUAGGUAAGAAUAUGUGACUUAGUCAAUUGGAUCACACUCUGAUUAUGUUUAUCUAAAUCAAAAGAUGAUGCCCAAAGAGGUCCAAGUUGAUUGGAAGAACGAUAAGAAAAAGGACUUAAAAUCAGCAGUCUAGGUGUACAGGACCAUCUACAGGACUCGGUCGUGUGUGCACUGGACAUGCUACAAUACAUCAAUAGCGAACUGGUUGUCUCGGGAUUUUUCCGUCUACAAUACUCGGUCCUAUGCACCAGACCCUCUAUAUAACUCGGUCAUGUGUGGACCGGACCUGCAACAGGACUCGAUCAUGUGCACCGGACCUGCUAUAGGAACCAGUAGACCAACGGCUACUUCGGGCGUGCAACGGCUACUUCAACAGUCGAAAGAGGUACGGUGUGCACCAGACCGGUUUGGUGCCAUCCAAAAGAGAAAAGGGCCAAUCUAUAUCAUGGAGGACUGACGACCAUUAUGGGUCCCGGUGGCGCACCGGACCGCUCUGGUGCGCCCGAGAGUCAGUUUUUGAGGAAGUUUCCAACGGCUAUUUGAGGCUUGGGGCUAUAUAAAGGUCCCCUCCACGACACUAAGGGGCACACCAAGGCACAUACAAGUGUAGUAUCAUUAUGCAACUAUUCUCUACCUCUCUCUUUGUCUAUUUCUCUCUAGAUCAGGUGUUGGCGCAGUUAUAGUCUAAAAGACAGAGGGAAGGUGCUGCUGCGAGAUAGAACGGCUGAUUGCGAGCUUGAGCAAGAAUUUGGCGGUUCUAUUAUACUGCAACAUCGACCAGAUAUAAGGGAAGACUUUGUCUGUCACCUGGUGACAGAUCUGAGCAAACGGAGGAAAUAGUUGAAAUAGACUCUAAACUAAUUUGACAAACUCCAAUGUGGAUGUGGGCAAGCAUUUCAGGCUUAGCCGAACCACGCGAUAAAUCGCUUGUCUCCUUGUCUCUUGCUCUGUUUGCUUUCUAUUUGUACUUCUCUACUUAUCUCUGGUAUAAGCUGUUUGUGAAGUGCAGGUUCUGUUUUGAUAAAAGGACUAUAAUUCCGCUGCGAUCUACUCGACUUGACUAUUCGGCUGCAAAUCAUACUUCGAGUAGAGUAAGAAGUUUGAAGCUUUCGGUGUUAAAUUUUAUUCGCCUAUUCACCCCUCCUCUAGACGACAUCCAGAUCCAUGUUCCCAGUCGAAGGGAACUUUCAAUUAAAAAUAACCAACAUUAUAUUAACUAAAAAUAUAUAAAAGGAAAACUGAUGUUGCACUGAUAUAGCUCUAGGCUAAGGUUAAAAGUUAGAAGCUGAAUCGAUAGCUGAUGUUAGAUAACAUGGUGUGUGUUUGGUUGGGAUUCUGGGCGGCUUCUGGCCGCCAGAAGCUGAAGCCGCGGCCAAACACCUAGCUUCUGGCCAGCUUCUGGCGGUCGCGCUUCUCACAGAAGCCGCACGCCUUCAGGAAACCCAAAAGCCGCCCGAGCGACGCUUCCGCUGCAAGCCGGCCUUACUCGCGAGGGUUUCCACAACCGCCGCCCGAGCGACGCGUCGUCUCCGCGCCUCAACUCUCCGUCGGCUGUCGCCUCCUCCUCCGCCGCAUCGGGUCGGGGACCUCGACCACACUCCCUUCCGCGGUAUUCGCUUCUCAGGUAUUCCUCCAUUCCGUUCCAUCUCCGCUCGUCCCUGGCUGCCUCCUAUCGCAAACCUCCCUGACCGUUGACGUCGCUAGGGUUUGGGCCGCGCCGCCGCCAGUUCGUCCACAAGGUUGGAGUCGUCCCGUUUCCGAACUCCUCGUAAUCGCAGGUACAUUAAUCGUCUCGUCCCCUAAGCGCUGUUACGGAUCCGAUAUUCCCCAUGUACUACUUAGGGUUUAGGGUAUACGGAUCUGGUAAUCCCCAUGAACUGAUUAGGGUCUAGGUUGCAUGAAAACUUGGCCGUGCAAUGAGGCAAAUUUGUGAACUGCUUAGUAACGAAUAUCAUCUGAUAUUUGAUGUUCAGAUCUUGUGGAGUUCGGUGUUUGUCUCUGUUGCAUCACAAUCUCCUCUCCUACGAAGGUGAUGUUCACAUCAAUUUUUCCAUCCCUCUUACUGCUUUACAAUUUUAAGAUUGUUGUGUAUGUUUUCCAAGAUCCAGUUGCAAAUAUGUUCACGGUGUCUGGUAAAUCCGUUCAUACUGUCUUCGUAUUGUUAUUAGUGCAUAGGAGACUAGUAAUUAGUCGUAGUUGUACCCUCCUUUGUCACCAGCCUAGGCAGUGGACAUGUAAGUACGCCUAAUUUGUGUAGAUAGUCCCCAUGUCUGGUAUACUAACGACCUAAUAAAUCCACAUCAGAUGGAUUCAGCAGACUCCAUAGCCGACAAGGCAAUUGGACGGAUGCAAGAGAUUUCGGACAAGACAUUUUCCGUAGCGAGGGAAACAAUCCGUCCUGGACGCGGGUUGACCUCAUUUGAUGCUACCAAACUUCGUGUAGCUUUGGAGGAGAUAGCUUGCAUGCUGGAGCAAGACUCUCUGGUGUUGCAAGAGCAUUUGGACAUCGUGAACAACGUAAACAUCCCGGUUGACAGCAGCUAUGAACCUUCUACCUUGUCGUCACCACCCCCAUCUAACGACGACCUUACUCCACAUUGGGACUUUGCGGAGCAUUUCCAAAACUUCUGGGGUGUUGAAUAUGACUCCGAUCAGAUGCCUUCGUUUAGUGACAAUGAUGUUUAAGGUAGAAGGGAGUGAACCUUGGAGUUAGGUGUUUGAAUAACAGGGAUGAAGUCCCUUAGCUUUUGUGUACUAAGGGCGUAGGGAAACAGGGAAUCAGUUUGUUCUUUUGGUUAAUGGGCUGCUGUAAAUGUGUUCCCUGUCAUUUUGUGUCCAGUACCAGUUUAUUUAAGGUUCUCGUUGUGUAAUUAAGCAAAUUGGAAUCUUAGUACUUAUGGUAUUAUCUGAACAUAAUAUGGCCAGUAUAUUCUUCAUCUUUUUUGUUGUUUUUAAUCCGAGACCACUACUACGUAUGUUGAAAACUAUAUACUUGUUAUGCACUAGAUGGACAAGUCCGGCAAAGUGAUUGCAAAGUGGGAUAGUAGAGCAACAAAAAUUUACACAGAAAUUUGUGUAGAAGAGGUCAAUGCUCGGAACAGGCCACAACAAUUUCUAAAUGUAGAAGGGUAUGCUAACCUCAUAAGGAAGUUUAAGGAACGCACUGGUCGCACUUACACCAGGGAUCAAAUGAAGAAUAGGUGGGAUUCGUUGAAGAGAAUGUUCACCCAGUGGAAAACUCUUAAUGAAAGGGCUACAGGUCUUGGUCGAGACCCUCAUACUGGUUCAAUCAGUGCGCCAGAUGAGUGGUGGGCCAAGCAAAAUGAAGUAAGUUCAUCUUUUUUUUCGUAGACUAACAUUAGUAUUGGCCAUCUAAAAGUAGGACUACGAAUUGGUGCAGGCAAUGCCAGGUUGUAUUAUGUUCAAAACAGCCCCCCUAGAGAAUGAGGACGAGCUAAAGGUUAUGUUUGGACCCAUUGUCUGCACAAAUGAAAGAACCCUGGUUCCUGGCGUCGAGGAUGCUAAUUCAUCUUCUGAUGAUCAUUUGGAAUACACUUUAGGUGGGGGUGAAAACAGCACACCUGACCCCUGCACAAAUGCUACUGGGAAGCGUAAGAUGCGCCAUGAUUCCCCAAAACCAAAGAAGAAAAAAGAUUCGAGGGAAGAGUACAUGAAAAGACUUGUGGAGGCUUUUGAGUCCCGCUCAUUGACCACAAACAAGUCCAUUACCUCUUCUGACAAUGACCCAGUUCGAAUAGAGCUUAAAAAGCAGAUGCAACAAGUCAAGAAAGAUGGAUCACCAGAAGGGAGCGAACUACAUUUGUUUGCGACUCAUCUUCUGAUUCAGAAGAAGUAUAGAGAUGUUUUUGCAACCUUGGAGACAAAAGAAGGAAGAAUCGCUUGGCUUCGCAAUGCUUACGCGUUAGAAACUAAAAAGAGCACUUAGCUGGUGGACGUCCGACAACAGAGGCCUACAUGUUUAUUAUUAUCGUUGGUUAUGUGUUUUCAUCAGUCAUGUCGUUUCAGUAUAUGUUGCUGGUCCGACAACUGAGGCUUAUAUGUUCAGUAUUAUGUUAGUUGUGUCUGCUUAAUGAGUCAUGUCGUGUCAGUUUUCAUACGUAUCAUUUUCGCUUUCAAACAAUUUUCCAAAUAUUCGAGUUGAACAUGUAUUAGAAUAAUCAGAGUUGUAACUUUGUGAGCUAUGUGAAUCUGUGAACUUCAUAUGCCUGUAAACUGUUCGGCUUCUUUAAUAUGUGUUUUAUAAACUGUGGUUGCAUAUGAAAUUGUGGCUCUUGCUUGUGUCCAUGCAGAUGUGUGAUCCUUAUGAACACACAUAUGAUGAUGAAAUGGAUGCACACACAUCUGAUGAUGAAAUGGAUGCACACACAUCUCAUGAUGAAACAGAUGGAGAAAUGCUUGUUGCUCUAUAUGCUGUAGACAUUUGGGGCAGGCAUUUCAGUCAGGCUCCUAGAAGAACAUUGGUCGAAUCUGGUAUUCAAUGGGUUCAAAGAACGUUGGAGAUUAGUAACGACUGUUUUGACAUGUUUCGCAUGCGAAGAACUGUUUUUAGACGAUUGCAUGACACGUUGGUACAAAAUUAUGGUCUGCUUCCAAGCAGGGGUGUCAGUACUAUGGAAGCUCUUGGCAUAUUCUUGUGGGCAUGUGGGGGUCCACAAUCGUUUAGGCAGAUCAGAAAUAAAUUUGGUCACUCAUUGGAAACAAUUAGCCGCAAGUAUAGUGAUGUCCUUAAUGCACUUUAUAAGAUGUCAUCUGACAUAAUCAAGCCGAAAGACCCACAAUUCGUCGAGAUUCAUCAUCGUUUGCGAGAGGCGAGGUUUUGGCCACACUUCAAGGAUUGCAUAGGCGCAAUAGAUGGUAGUCACUUUCCAGUGGCAGUCCCGGCUUCGGAACAAGCGAAAUAUAUUGGCCGACACGGUUACACGUCGCAGAAUGUAAUGGCCGUAUGUGACUUCGAUAUGAGGUUCACAUUUGUGGUGACAGGCUGGCCAGGUUCCGUACAUGACACAAGAGUACUACAGGAUACUUUAAUAACUUAUGCGGACAGGUUCCCCCAUCCACCGGAAGGUAUACAAAUAUUUUGUACAUUUGUAGAAUACAGUACUAUUUUAUGUCACAUGUACGUAACAUUUGUAUUUUGAGUUUGUGCAGGUAAAUACUAUCUUGUCGAUUCGGGUUAUCCAAAUAGAAAGGGGUACCUUGCACCUUAUAAGGGGCAGAAGUACCACAUUACGGAAUGGCAAAAUGCGAGGCAACCUAUUGGGAGUAAAGAAGUAUUCAACUAUGCGCACUCAUCCCUACGAAAUGUUAUUGAGCGAUCAUUUGGGGUGCUAAAAAUGAAGUGGAGAAUUCUAUUAAGUCUCCCUUCAUUUUCGCUUGAGAAACAAUCGAAGAUAAUUAUUGCAUGUAUGACACUGCAUAACUUCAUUAGAGAUAGUGCUCUACACGAUAGAGAUUUUGAUGAAGUAGGACCUAAUAGCCUAAGUCAUGAUCUACCUGCAGGUGAGAGUAGUACUAGCACAUCUGAUGAGUUAGACAUGAGUGAUUUUCGAGAUGCAAUUGCAAAUGCAUUAGUGGCGUAGUUGACUUAGUGCAAUUGUAACGGUACUUAUGAUGUAAUCAACUCCACUAAUUAUUUUGUAAUGAACUUUAUCUGUGUUAUGGGUUUCAUUUUAUCGUUUGUUCGAACAGAAUCUGCAAUUUGAGAAUUUGUAUCCAAACACGUAGAUUCUGACGAACAGCUUUUCUGCACAGCUGGCGAACCAAACACCUAAAUUCUAACCACCAGCUUUUCCCAACAGCCAGCUUUUCCCCACAGCCAGCUUUUCAGAUAAGCUGGCCAGAAAAAAGCCGAACCAAACACGCCCAUGACAACCAGACUUGCCUACCUUAAAGCAUCUGGCUCAAAGUACGCCACUUACCGAACCGAACCAAAUCAAACCAGUAGAAAACCAUUAGGGCGUAUUUGACAACAAUAUUUUCAAAAUCAUUGUUUUACAAUAUUAUACUACCUCCGUUCACAAAUAUAUGAUAUCGUUGACUUUUUUGAAAACUUUGAUCACCCAUCUUAUUCAAAAUAUUUAUUCAAAAAUAUAAAAUUUUAAGUUAAGCAGAAACUACCUUAAGUGAUAAAACAAAUCACAAAAAAAUUGAUGAUAACUCAUUAUUUUUUGAAUAAAACGAGUGGUCAAAGUUUUUUUAAAAGUCAACGGUGUUAUAUAUUUAUGAACGAAGGGGGUACUUUACAGUUAUCAUGAUAAUAUAAUAGUUUUGGUCAGCUCAGAAAAUACAAUGAUUUUGAGAAACAUUGUUUAGAUACAACAUUGUAAACCAUGGUAUUUAGACAAAAGCUAGCCAUGCCAUAAAAUUUUUGGAUUUGAGUGGAGUUUUUAAUAUAAAAAAUACAAUGAUAUGUAGAAUAUCAUGGUUUUGAAAACAUAUUUUUUAGAAAUGUAACCAAACACUUUAUAGCAUAAAAUACGCUGAUAUUCCUAUAAACUAUGAUAUUAACUACAAACUAUAAAAAAUACUUUGCUUACAAAUAGUUACUUAUAGCAACUUAAAGGGAUUAAGCCAAAUCUACUGUUUUACUACUCUCAAAUAGAUUUAGCAAAAAAAAGACUAGUCCAACAGACUUUAUAAAUUCAUAACUCUAUAUGAAGUGUGAAGUGGACUAUCUAAAAAUUGAGAGCAAAUGUGUAGUAAUAAAGAACUACUCCCUCCAUUCCAAAAUAUAAUUCGUUUUAAACUAAUUAAAUAUUCAUUAAGUAACAUAUGAAUGCAAUAUGAAUGUGGUUUGCAUGUAUGUCUAUGUUCAUUGUCAUUUGACUCAUUGUGGACAAAAAAAAAUGUGAGCUAAAAAGAACAUUUUAAGGACAUGAAACUCAUGUGCCCUAACAAUAUAGAACUUUAUUGUGCAAUUUCAUUACUAUGGAUCCACUUCACAAGUAAUCCACACAUCAUACUUGGAUAAAACUUCCUUGAGUUUGUCAUCUGUACAUGUAUGUCCCAAAUUUGCAAUAAAGAUAUUAAAGCAAGGUGGUAUAUCAUUUGAAGACUUAUCGCGUCUAUCCUACACCAAACAUACCAUACUAUCAAGCUCUAUAUAUGUCGAGCAAGCUUUAAAUAAGAAACAUCGGAUGACAAAACUUUUUGAAUUUCAGUAUAUCUUAUCAUAACAUGUUCACUGCGUAGUACAUUCAUCUAGUAAAUUAUUAAGGGACGAAGACAGCAACGACUACAAAUAAAAUGAGCCACCCAGACACGGCUGCCACUGCUCUCAGACUCCACCCGAUAUUCCUCCACUUCGAUCAGCAGCUGCCCGCACGCGCGCUGAUGGGGAAGCCGGCCGAGUCGUCGUCGACGUCGUGGUCUGCGCUGUUCGGUUUCGGUUGCUUCAGCUCUUCCCAUGCCGACCGCUCUGGUGACGGCCCGGGCAAGGUGGCCUCCGCCGGUUCCAGGCCUCCCGCGCCACCAGCACCGCUGCUUUCGCCGGAUGACCUAUCACUGUCGCUGGCGGGAUCUGACGUGCUGGCUUUCACGGUGGAGGAGCUCCGGGUGGCGACGCGGGACUUCUCGAUGAGCAACUUCGUCGGCGAGGGCGGGUUCGGGCCCGUGUACAAGGGCCGCGUCGACGAGCGGGUCAGGCCCGGCUUGCGGCAGCCGCAGGCCGUCGCCGUCAAGCUGCUCGACCUCGAGGGCUCCCAGGGCCACAAGGAGUGGCUGGUAAGCAAGUUUCUGAAUCACGCGAACAAUCUGAUUCGGGUUGGUUUCGCAGAUUUGAAAGAGAAUAGCCAGCCAUUGAUCCAUUUUAUUCCGAAUUCAUUUUCGUUGCAAUUUAAUUUCUACUGCCAUUUUAGUCCUUUUAUUAUUUAACAAACGAAUUGAGCCCGCCCCAGUCUAAAGUCCGAAGAAAACAGUAGCAUCGCCAUCUGUAGCUGAGCUGUGAUCACUUUCGGAAGCCGACAUGUCUUCUCCCCUCUCCCUUGAGACACAAUUUCAUUUCGGGAUUAAUUCUUUGUUUGGUGCCCUGGAGGGAGCUGUAUGCAGUACGUCAACUUGUCAACCACCCAACCAACUGCAGCACUGCUUAUUCGGUCAAACAAUUGUACCAAGUGUUGGUGGUCAAAAUAUUCCUUAAACAAUACUGUACUGUACUAAGGAAACGCUGCCUGUGUUGACCUGCAACUACUUGUGAUUAUUCACUUAUUUGUUCGUUUGUUUUUGCUGGUACAGGCUGAGGUCAUUUUCCUUGGGCAGCUGAGGCAUCCGCACCUUGUCAAGCUCAUCGGCUACUGCUACCAGGACGAGCACAGGCUUCUCGUGUACGAGUUCAUGGCCAGGGGCAGCUUGGAGAAGCAUCUCUUCAAAAGUAGGGCAGGUUCUAAUAGUUUAGGGUAAAAGGCAAAGCCAACAACGUACGUUCCUAACGAUCGAUGAUCUCUUCGUGGAAACGAACAGGGCACUCUGCUUCCCUUCCGUGGUCAACGCGAAUGAGGAUCGCCAUUGGAGCCGCCAAAGGUUUGGCUUUCCUCCACGACGCUGCCAAACCCGUCAUCUACCGCGACUUCAAGACGUCCAACAUCCUGCUGGACUCGGUAAAAUAAUGAGACCAGGCUGCGCGCGCAUUCGCUCCAUGCGGCUUUCCCUGACUCGCGCCUUCAUUCAGGACUACACGGCGAAGCUGUCGGAUUUCGGGCUAGCGAAGGCUGGACCUGGAGAAGACGAGACCCACGUGUCGACCCGAGUCAUGGGCACGCAGGGCUACGCCGCACCCGAGUACAUCAUGACAGGUAUGUACUUAGGCAAAAAAUAUUAUGGAACAUGCAUGCGCGCACUCAGCAGUGACGAUCUACUGUUAAUUUUUUCUGCGUUAAAAUUAGCAGGGCAUCUAACGACCAAGAGCGACGUGUACAGCUUCGGCGUCGUGCUCCUGGAGCUGCUAACGGGGCGGAAGGCGUUGGACAAGAACCGGCCGCCGCGAGAGCAGAGCCUGGUGGAAUGGGCGCGGCCAUGCCUGCGCGACGCUCGCCGGCUGGAGCGCGUCAUGGACCGGAGGCUGCCGCGCCCCACCACGCCCACCCGAGCAGCCCAAAAGGCCGCCGGGAUAGCCCACCAGUGCCUCAGUGUCAGCCCCAAAUCCCGGCCCCAAAUGUCCCACGUUGUACAGGCCCUGGAGUCGCUGCUUGCUCUAGACGAUGCCGCCGUGGAGCCGUUUGUGUACACGGCGCCGCCGGAGAGCAGAUGACCUGUGUCAUCUUGUGUAAAAAGCAAGCGCCGGUGAGUCAACAAUCCGAAGGUGUUUUGCCCACAGUAGUCCACUAUAUAUAUAUUUUCUAUUGUAAAAAACAUUAGUUCACGCGUGAGACGCGUACCUCUGUUUUUCUCGCCCCUGGGAAACUUGGUGGCUGCCUCUAUAUUUACACUGAUCUAAUCUAGGCGACAGAUCACACAUAUUUUUAUGUUUUCUAUUAUAUGCUCAAUCAUAAUAUAUAUUAUUAUAAAAAAUAGGAAAAAAACAAACCAGUAUGAUCAGGUCUAGCUCGUCGUGUCACACCUAAGAGCAUAUGUAUAACCUAGAGACUCUGAUUUAGUUUUCUAAUUAUAAGAGGCAACUAAGAGACUAUAUGAUAUAACCCUAAACUUCUAAAUCAUAAAUACGGUCAGCACACAAUAUGUAUAGAGAGUCAUAUAAAGAUGAAUUCUUCUUGAUUAUUUUUCACUUAACUUUCUAGAGUCUCUUUUAAGAGACAUCUCAUUUAAUUGGAUUGUACCUACCCUAUGGCUUAUGAAAGGCACGGUGAUUGGGUCCAGCUAACAUGGCCAUGCUAGGGUCGGACUAAAUCGUGUCAGACCAUAGGUCGUCAUGUAAAUGUUUGGAACGUAUUUAAAUAACUAUUUCAUUAAAUUAAAGUCUAUUUAUAUGAUAUAUAGAAACUAUAGUAAUAUACAAAUAUCUAAGUAGUAUAAAAAUUUAUGUGAGCUAUGCACGUGCGCCGCCUCCGGUACUCUGUCGGCAUCGUGGACUGACUAUAUGUCAAAAAAAAUCUCAGAACAGGUCGAUUCCAAUAUAUACCCUAUACCAUACAAUGCGCUUCAUCGAUGAUAUUCUCUCAAUGGUACCCGUUCAAUGUUCGUGCGACUUGGAUACCGCUUGUUAUCUUGUAGGAGGAAAAAUGUGAUUGUUGGUGGUCGGAAGGAAUUUUUUUUUGAAGUAAAGGUACUGUAGGAAGGACCUACAGUAAUAUUAUUAAAUCAAAAGAACUGAGUUUAGGGAGAAAGAGGCAAAUUACAAAGAAAAGGAAGGAAGAGGGAGCAGAGGGGGGAAGAGUUACAGCCCUAAGUUGAGCAACCAAGAUGCAAUAUCUUCCUUAAGAAUAGGCUUAACUCGAUGGCAUAAUAAGGCAAUUUCACUCCUAAACAUAGCCUUGCACUCAGAAACCGAAGGGGGAAUUUCGUUGAAGAUCCAAUUGUUUCUGCACCUCCAGAUGCACCACGUCAUGAUGAUAAUAGCUUCUAACCUCCAAGGAACUUGCAAGCGUCUUCUAAUUCUCAUUAAGGUAUGCAGAAGAUCCGUAGAACACGGCGGGAGGAAGCCCAAAAGUAGCCAACAUCUCCUAGCAAAGUUGCAUCUGAAGAAAAGAUGAAUAGACGUUUCUUCAAUCUGGAGAAUACAGUUGUCGCAGGUGUAUGAGUCUAAAGGCAUUGAACGUCGUCUGAGAAGGGAGCGGGUAUUCAAUCUAUUUUUGAGCAAUAACCAGAAGAAUACUUUGUGCUUAGGUUGACAUUUAGAUUUCCAUAACCAAAAGAAGAGAGGGAGCGAUUGAUGGGUGCCAAUCAAGUGAGCAUAGACCUUCUGAGAAGAAAACCGAUUGAAAGAGGCACUGCAUCGCCAAAUAUCAUUGUGAUCAAGCAACUGUAGAUUACCAAGGGUGUUCUGAAGUGAGAGAAGCUGCUCGAACGCUUCAGCAGAGAGGGGGGUAUGGAACAGUUCAUUCGGGGAAGCCAACCGAGCUUGACUAAUGUUAAUCUCCUUGACAGAGGCAAAAGACCAAAGCUCCAGGAACUUUUCAGAUAAUCGUUGUCCAUUCCAUCGAUCAUGCCAAAGGAGAGUAGAUUUACCAUUUCCAAUCUCCACUUGGGCAAUUUCCUUAAAAGAAUCUUGGAUUUUGAGAAUAUCUUUCCACCAAAACGAGCCAACUGGUUUAGUUGAGGGCAGAGAGUUGUUGUAAUGAGUGUCCCAGAUAAUGUUAACCCAUGGGAUGUUGACUCUAUUAAAGAAUUUAUGAAGGCAUUUCAUAAGGAGCGCUUUAUUCUGCCACUCAAGGUUGAUGACUCCAAGUCCCCCUGGGUUUUUGGCCUGCAAACUGAUUUCCAAGCAACUUGAGGAGGUUUUUUUGCAUUUAUGUCUGCCCCUCUCCAGAGACAAUGCCGUCGAAGUUUGUCAAUCUGUUUGAUCACAGAUUUUGGGAGCUUCGGGGUGCACAUGUAAUAGGUUGGAAGUGAAGAAAAUACCGCGUUGACCAUUUGUAAUCUGCCAGCCUAAGAUAGGAAAAUAGAAGUUGAAGCUAGUCUUCUUUCAAUCUUCUGAAUGAGGGGAAUGAAGGCUUCCAAAUUGGGUUUUUUAAGCCCCAAAGGAAGCCCAAGAUACGUGAAGGGCAAAGCCCCAACCUUGCAGUGAAAUGUAUUUGCUAGCAUUGCCAUUUUCUGCUCUGAAACAUUGAUGGGAUAAAUAUUAGAUUUGUUAUAAUUCACAUGGAGCCCUGUAGAAUCAGCAAAUGAAUUAAGCAUUGCUUUAAGAAAGAAGAGUUGUCUAGGGCACGCUUCCAGAAUCAGAAUUGUAUCAUCUGCGUAUUGGAUAAUCGGGAAGUCGGAUCCACAGGAAAGCGGGAUCGGGAGCUUGAGGAUGCCACAAUCCUUGGCCUUGUUAAUAAUUGACUGAAGUAGAUCAGCAGCUAAGACAAAGAGAAGGGGGGACAGGGGAUCCCCCUGCCGAAUCCCACGCCUGCAAUGAAAACGUCUGCCCGGGACCCCAUUCAAAAGAACUUGUGACAUGCCAGAGCCAAGAAUCAAAGAGAUCCAGUGAAGCCAUCUGUCCCCAAAGCCCUUAUGCCUCAAAAUAUCAAUGAUAGCAGCAUGCUCUAGUUUGUCAAAAGCCUUUUCAAAGUCCAAUUUUAGGAUAACCAUUUCUUUACCCGAUUUGUGACAAAUAGAGAUGUAUUCAAAGGCCCAUGCUAGACAAUCCUGAAUUGUCCGUGCCUUGAGGAAGACAUAUUGAUUCUGGUAGAUUAGAUUAGUAAUAACCAGUUGUAGUCUAUUGGCAAGAAGUUUAGUCAGGAUUUUCAUGCUUGUAUUGAGGAGAGAUAUCGGUCUAUAGUCCCCCAUUGAAGUAGGCGAACUAAGCUUGGGGAUGAGAGUCACAAAAGAACCAUUGAUGCUUUCUAAGCAGAUUGAUCCCUCAUAAAAUUUAUCACAAAGCUCAUAGAAGUUGGAAGCAAUUACCGGCCAGCAUUUUCUCACAAAUUCUAUGUUAAAACCAUCAGGGCCUGGGGACUUAUUGGUAGGAAGAUUUCUGAUGAUCUGGUCUAUCUCACUAUGCGAGAAUGGCAAAUCCAGUGUUGACAGGUUAUUAGCAGGUUGAAUCAAUUCAGAUAGGUUGAAAACCAUAGUUGUUGGCUGGGAGGUCCCUAAUCGAUCUUUGAAGGCUUGGAACAGAACCUCUUCUUUAUCCUUAUGAGAGAAAGCCACCAUGCCAUUAUCACAAGACAGAGACAAGAUACUGUUGUGUCGAUGCUUGGAAGUGGCAUUAGCAUGAAAGAAUUUUGUGCCAGCAUCCCCCAACGUGGCCCAUUUGAUUUGGCCUCUCUGCUUCCAGUAGGUACGCUGAUUGGAAAGAAGACCCUGCAGGUGGUGAACUAGAGCAUUCUUAAAGUUCCAUUCUUGAAUUGUUAGAUCUCUGCUUUCCUCAAUAAAAUCCAUCAAUUGAAUGAUCAAUUCCGUCUUAACAAUCAACUUAGCUAGAUUGGGUAAAGAUUUCUGCCACCCAUGGAUCACCUUUCUUGCUCUUUUAAAUUUGGCCAUAAGCCGUUUUGCAGGAUCAGGCUGGAAUAGAUCGUGCUCCCAAGAGGCUUGGAAUCUGGAAUGGAAGUCCUCAAGCUGAAGCCAAUAGUUUUCAAAUCUGAAAAUGGGCAGUUUAGGAACGUUAGAUUGAAUGUUGACCACCUAGAGAACAUGAUCUGUGGUGCUCCUGGCCUGGGAAGAGGCAGAAGUGGCUGGGAAGUUGGAAGACCAGGCAGGCGAGACAAAGCACCAGUCCCGCUUUUCAAGCAGAGGAUGACGCUGCAUAUUAGACCAAGUGAAUGCUUGCCCUCUGAGAGGAAUUUCUUGUAAACCCAGCUGACUGAUUGCCGCAUUGAAAUUGAGCAUUCUAAUAGGGUCACCACCCUGCUUGUUACGAUUUUCAGGAUACCUAAUCAUGUUGAAAUCACCAAGGAAAAUCCAAAGCUUGUCUUCAUCAAUUUCAAGGUUAGAGAACCAGGCAAGAAAAGCUUCUCUACCAUGAGGAGAACAAGGGGCAUAGAUGUUGGAGAGCCACCAGACUUGCCCAUUUAGAUUGGAUUGGAAACGAAUAGUGUGCCCAAACGAAUUCUGUUCAACUACCUCAGCCUCAAAGAGGGAGCUUUUCCAGAUAGUGAUGAAUCCUCCAGAAGCUCCAAUAGAAGGGCCGAGAGCAAAUUUAUCUAAAUAGCGGUUGCAGAAGAGACAAAUAUAUGAGUCAUCGAAGGAUUCCUUUUUUGUUUCCUGAAUACAAACAAUGUCACAAUUGGAUUCCAAAAUAUUAUUCCGCAAAGAGUUCCACUUGAUGUCAGAGUUAAUGCCUCUGAUGUUGUGAGACAAAAUUUUCAGUGACCGAUGAGAACUCUGAAAAAGAUUAUCCAUUGAAAACCAGAAAUAUUUCACUCAAGAGUUCGAGUACGCCAAACAUACAUCGACAGGGGUCCAAGCAUACAAUAUAAAGAAGGUAGGUCGAUUCAGAGAUUCCAAAAAAAGUGGGGCAAUGCGUGCCAGUACCACCCCCGAAAUCCAGACAUAAGAAAAGCCGAAAAGGCUUAAAUAAACCCCAUGUUAUCUUUGAUCCCAGAAAAUUCGAUCCAUUCACCCAUAAGACAUAAAUUGGUGAAAAGUUUGAUGCGUUCCCCACAGCGGCCACGACAGGCCCAAUAACAUAAAGAGUAGUUUUGUUGCGGUACAUAAUUAAACCAAAAGAUGUCAAGAACUGCGGCACCUCAGCCCCAAGCUGAGACAGAAGAGACGGUGACGCAUUACAGCCCCGCCGAGGGAUGAGACUCCGCGUCAUCAUCCAUAUCAGAAGCCUCCCUUUGGUCUUCGGACAGAGAACUCGGCUCAUUCCUGGAGCAAGACGAGGAACGAGGCCUCUGAAUGGCAGCACUGGAGGACCUGGAGUUAUUUAAGGUAUCAAGGUUCAGCUUGUGGGGGUCAACAUUGUAGAAGUCAGCGCCCAACUUCUUGAUAGUCCUGUGGGAGAGAGAUGGCGGUGGGGAUGACCCAGCACAGCACAAGCAGUUAUUUUUUAUUCCAAAACAAGACUUAAAGCCUUUGGUCUUUUCUCUGAGCCUUGCACUCCUUCUCACUUCAGUGUCAACCAAGGAUGCACGUUUCUUUUUGUUAACUGCUUCAGAAGUCACAGUGGACUGAGCAUCCACAAGCGGAUCCUGGUUAGGGGGAAGCAAGCAUUUGGGGGGGAUCUUAAUAGGCAUAGUUUCCAUGUUGGGUUCCAUGAAAGCAGAAAGAGCCCCCGACAACAGAAAUUUUUUGGCCCACUCAAAAGAGUCCGGCCUCAUAAGUAGGCCCAUAAAGAAAGCUGCCCAAAGUUUUGGAACGGGGAUGAGGUAUGUAUUGGGGGGCAAAGUUCAGCCCAGGAGGAGAAACGUUUUCUGGCCAUGAAAUCUUCGUAGGCAGGGUCCUGAGAGGGCUGAUCCAGAUGAGUCAUGCAGCCCACAAUGAUGUUUUCAUCAGCAUUCAGAUUCAAAUUUUCCUCGCCCUGGUCGUUAUUUCCCUCCAAAAACGGGUCCGCUGGGGGGAGGGCUGGUAGAGCAAGCACAACAACUUCUUGAUCUUGGACUUCUUCCUGAGGGAAGUGGACUGCUUGCGGGAUAACGAUAUUGUUAAAAAGACCCAUUGGUUCAUCUGAAGGCAAGUCCUCAAGGACGGAAAGCUGAUAACUAAAUUGUUCCUCCUCAUUGAUGGCAAUUGGCACUGGUGCAGGUGGUUGCUCUUGCUGGACCUGUUCAACCGGCCAAGGGUCCCAACCAUCAUCAGCAAUGUUGUCAUUUAUAGCAUCUUCUUCAAUUUCACCAAUGGGAGGGAUGUUGAGGUCAAAUUGGAAGUUGGGCACAGGCUGCCCCAAUCCAAAAAAUUCCACCGGAAGUUGAUGACCAUUAUGAGGAUAUGGAGGCACAACCUCUUCGACCUUAGGCAAGGCACCAAGCAUGAAUUGUUGAACUAUAUCGCACUGAACAGUCCAGGAAACCCCAUGAAAACCUUCAGCUACUGAAAAUACAAUAAACUGGGAACUUCCUGCAGAGAUGUCACCCUUGCUCUAACCACGGCGGCGACUUCAUCGUUGGCAGCGGCAGCGAGUGCGCACACAGGGAGGGCAGCGGGAGCGCGCGCAGGGAGGGCCAUCAACCCUUUCUCUGUUGGUUUCUUGACUGAAGGUGUGGAUUGUGCCUUUGAUCGACCGUUUUAAUUACUUCUGUACCACAAGCUAUGGGUCUGGUAAGAAGAUGCAUCAGAGUGGUAUGGUCGGAAGGAAUUCAAAACGUUGAACAUUCAAUCUUCUUAAGUCCCCGUGUCGAGGAUACUUUUAGAGGGUGUUUGAUUUGAUAAAUCAUUCUAUUCAAGAUGAUAUUCUGCAUCAUAAGUUUAUUUCUCAAAUUUGGUGUGAUCAUCUUAUUUUUCAUGUUAAUACUAACUAAGUAUAAGGAAUGAGGUGGUGAUGGAUCAACUCAUUUCAUUCCACAAUCCAAAUAAAAAAUGAGGAGUGAGAAGAUGAUGGACUAGCUUAUUCUUCAAAUCAAACAUCCUAUUAACUCUUUGUAACACCCUGAAUUUUGGGAUAUAAAUUUUUUCUAAUAUCCACCAAAUUCAGGUGUUACCCUCUCAUUUCGUUGUUUUCCUUCUAUUUUUCUAAAUAAUGGAGAAUUAUUUUGUUUUAUAUUGACGUAAAUCUAGUGGAAUGAGCCAUAGAGAUGCUUUGGUUGGUGCAUUCAUGUCGUUGCAUAGUGUUUCUAAGUGCAAAAGGUCUUUGAAACAUGUUAAUAUACCUUGUGGAAGCCUUCGGUAAAUUGUCAUAUUUUUGAAAUAGUUUUCUAUUUUUUGAAAACUAGAAUCUAUUUAUUUGAGGUACUUAAAAAUAUUUUUAGAAGCUCUAAGUAUAUUUUUGAGUUCAUUAGGUGCCAAAACAUUUCUAGAGAUUUUCUCUGGAAUUUGUGGAAGCACAUACAAUAUUUUGAGCACAAAAUAUGGAUUUCUAGGCUUUUCUGAAUUUAAUAAAUGGUAAAAUCCGAAUUUUAACCGAAUUUUCAUCUCGUUCGAACCCUAUAUAUAUAUAUAUAUAUAUAUAUAUAUAUAUAUAUAUAUAUAUAUAUAUAUAUAUAUGGUCGUCUUCUCCUCGUUGAGCACAUUCCAAAUCACAAAACGAUUUUCUCAGAUUCAUUCCCCAUUUCCCGAAAUUGCUCGCCGAAGUUCGGAGCGGUUCUAACUCCAACGACAACCCCGACGAUCAAUUACUUCCAAUCCAUGCGUCAUCGGCGAAAUCCGAGGGUACCUCUACGUUCAUCUCGUCGAGGGCUUCGUCUCGGUGCAUCUGGUUCGUCGAUCGGACCUCCGAAUCUUCGUCAAUCGACGAAUUCAUCCUUGGCUCCGACGAGAGUCUUCUUCCCUGGUGAGCUCCUCCAUUCAUGAAGUUCACAGGAUGUUUUCCAUGUGUUUAUGUUUUAAAGUUCACAUGAUGUGAAAUGGAUUGGACUUAGGCUCUAAGAAUGCAACACCUCAAAAGAAUACAUAAAAGACCUGCAAAUACUCAGCACAAGCACAAGCACAAGACACAAGAACAAAAGAGCUAAAGAAUAGAAGAUAGAAGAUUCAAGAAGUGGGCAGUCAGCUGAAGCACAGGUGGCGCAUCGGGCCGCAUGCACAGAGAGCUCUGCAAUCGGCUCUUGGGCAGCUAACGCACCAGACCAUUCGGUGGUGCACCGGACCAUGGUCCAACAGCUAGUUGCCAACGAUCAUCUAACGUGGCAGCAUCAGACCAUGCAGUUGACACACCGGAUCGUCUACAGUGCUAUCAGUGCCAACGGCUAGCUGAUGUGGAGAGUCUAGACCAAACGGUCCCGUGUGCACGCAUACAAAAUUCUGCAGCUUUCCACCAACUGCUAUAAUUGAGUGGGGGCUCUAUAUAAACCCCCUAUCUGGCCAUUUGAAGGUGUGGGAGCCUAAGAAACAUACCAAUAUAUGUGAUAAACAUCUCCAAGUGCUUAAACAUCCAAGUGCUUAAUAGAAUCACUUGGUGAUUAACGUAUGUGCUUUGCGAAGUGCUUAGGUUAGUUAGACCGCUUAUGCGCUUGCUCUAGGUUGUUCCUAAUUAGUUGAGUGAGUUGAGAAAAACCCACAAAACCCUUUGGCUCUUGCGCGAGGCUUUGUAAUUGUACCGAGUGGGGCGAGAGUCUUACAGGACCACAUCAACCGUGUUUGUGGUGCGGUCACCAUCGUGUACCCGAGGGAACGAGGCAUGUGAUGAUUCGACAAGAAGCUCUAUAGUGGAGAGGGCGGGGAGCAUCUGAGAGAAGCCAGAAGCGGAGUACUAAUUGUGCAUGGAUAAGGCCCACAACUCUCUACGAAGUUACUCGACCAUGGUGCUUUGCCCCUCGCGUGGGCUACCCUUUGCAUAGGGGCACCAACGAGGAUUAGUUGGGACCUUGCAUGGUUUCGAAUACCUCGGUAAAAAUACCAGCGUCGUCCACGAGAGUUUGCAUCUCUACCUUUGGUUAUUAGCUUCUACCUUUACAUUAAGUACUUAAGUUUGAAUCUCUCUAUUCCUAGUUUAGAAUUCUUAGGAUUGGAACUUAGGUUGCAUAACUCUUUUGCGGUAGAGAUAACAACACUUAGACAAAACCUAGUUUACACAUUCUAGUUUGAUUAUUUGCAUGUGUUUUCAUCUAGGGAUUUAUUUGUGGCCUAGAUUAGUGAUAUUUUUAGAAGUCAUAAUUCACCCCCCCUUAAGCAUCCAUGUUCCUUUCACCAUCCACGCUCCCCUCAUUGACACCUUCAAACCCUUCAAAGGUGAAAUGAGAUAUACUCUACUUUAGUUGUGCUUCCCUAUUGUGGUUCCUUGCAGGAGCUUCUAUAGAUCUCCAAUAUUUAGCGCCCACCUCCAGUGAACCCACAAACAACCACUAUUGUGCCUCCACAAAGGGAAAAGGACGAGGCUGGUGUUGCCAGCUUUACUACCAACCUCAAAGGCUAAGAGUAUGCCAAAGUUGUUGACUAGACCGAAGUUGCGUACCAAAGACAAUAUGAGAGCACAACUUUGAAACACCUAGUUGAGCUAGACAACAUUGAUGACAAGAUUGAAGAUCUCGAAUCCAUCCAAAUGCAGAUUGAGAUUUAGAAACAAAUGAUGCUUCGGGUUGCUUAGUUUCAACAUCAAAUAGAUGACGCUUCUUAAGAGCUUCAUCGCAUAAGAAAGGGAGGUGUUUUUCGGACCUUUGGCUCAAAGCCCUCAAUUGAGUUUUGCAAUUUGAGCUCAUUAUAAAGAAUGAACUAAUCCCAUGAGGGGCUACUAUCGAGGAGAAAGAUUUUGGUUGAUGGUCUACAUCUAAUGAAAAUCAUUGUUGUAGUAUGUUUUCAAGAAGAUACCUUCGAACCAUGUGUUUAAAUCAAAAGCUUCGGUUGGCUCUACAUUAGUGAACGACAAGCUAAAGGAGGAGGAAGAGAUGAAAUUGAACAUUAUUGAUCCACCUUUGGAUGCAAUGACAAGGAGGUUGAGGUUAUGAAGGAGGAGGAAAAGGCAUACACAACGCCUUUUCCCUACGAAUUGACACAAUUGCCUAUCUCCAGUUGUACAGAGUCUUCGUAUAGAGGAAAGUGCAUUCUUCUAAUUCUAAGCUGAGAUGUAUGUAACCUCGACGCUUUAAAUAGACAUACAAUACCACAAUUAUAGUGGUUGAUCACUUGUACGCCUUGAGCGUAUGGCACCUUAGUACGAAAGAGCAUCCGAAGAUCUGCUGACUUCAAGCUCUUAAAUCAGCUUAAGAGACCUUCGAACGUAUAACAUUCUGAAAGUAUUAUAACCCAUCCAAACUGAACACAUGAUCUAUCUACGCAUCUUUCUCUUAUAUACAAUGAAUUUGAUACCGGUUUUUCCAUUCACGCUCCCCUUCUUGACACCUCCAAACCCUUGGAAGGUGAUAGGAGAGAGACUCUACGUUAAUUGUGUUGCGUUAUUGCGGUUCUUUGUAGAAGCUUCGCCACAUCUCUAAUACUUUAUCGAUGAUGCUCCUAGUUAAAUUUUAAUUAGGAAGUUUUAGGUGGCUCUAACUAAACUAAGAAGUGGUGAAUUUAUACUCACAGUUAAAUUUCUUUGCAACGUCGUACCACCUGCAUUCUCGAAUAUUUGUCGUCCACUAGUUAUUUUUAAACUAAAACACGACGAAUAAAAAAGAAUAGAGAGAGUAUGCUGAAGCAGCUCAAGAUAAAAGCCCUGUUUAGCCAUGGUCAGAUUUCGAUAGACUAACUUGGACACUGGAUUAGGAAAUUCCACCCUUUUCCACUCGCUCCAGGACAAGAGGGUACCGAUGAGUAUCGGCGACCCUGCACGAGAAUAGAACCAAUACCAAUAGUUUUGCUUAUUUGAAUUCUUCCAUUAUAUAUCAAAAUAAGAAAUCUAAAUAGAUACGCGAAGUGGUGCCCUUGCUUCUGGAUUCAAAUCCAUAGGGGCAGGCAGGAGAGAAGCGAAAAGAUAGAUAUGUUAAUGUUUCCACCUACUCUCGAGUAUAGCAUAGGGCCGAGUUAAGUAUAAAAUAGGGAUCGUCGUAAGAUCCCGAUGGGCCAUCACAUCCCUUGAUGAGUAGAUCAUUCAUGUCUUACUGGUCAAAGGUAAGUAAGAACCUUUUGAUAUCAGGAAGUGCAAAUAAAUAAUAGGUCAGUCUUGUUGUCUCAAAUAGGAAUUGAGUGCCUGUGGAGAAGAGAUGGGUUGGUUUGAUUGAGGAAAGAAUAGGAAAAAUAAGGAAGAAGGAUAGCAUAUUGACCGUGCUUUGCGAAGUUCGGUGGAAGUCAGCUGGAAUCGUACCGAGCAAGGUUCUAUUAAUUGGUAAACUACUUAGUAGCCAUAGCCAACCCCUUAUUAUAGGCAAACCCUGCUCUUGUAUAUUGAUAAAGAAAGAGAGAGUUUACUGACGACACAUUUGCGUCCAGUGGAAUUGAUCAUCGUUCCCCACGACCAAGACCCAAUUCAAUAUCUUAAUAGGAAGAAUGUCUUGAUCCGCCUCGUAUAUCUAUCAUUUGUGUUGAUCUGGAAUCGAGAUUGGAAUGCCUUGCUCUGCCUAAUCAUGAAUAGUAUAUGCCUCAUCUCGCUAGCCAGAUCUGUACCGUCUUAUCGAUCGAAAGCUAGGGAUACUUAUUUAUUUUCUUGAUGAUUGAAAAGCUAGUUUGAAUUCGUUGAUCUGCCGAUACCGGGCCCCAUUUCACUAGCCAGCGAGCUUGUGUAUUACUUUGCAAAUGAAGUGUAUCUCUUUUAUUUACUUCUGUUGAUGUCUCGAACCGCUUAGCGGUUAGUUUUAGUUAAGGAUAGUACCAGGUAAGGAUUGUUAAGUAACCCUAGUUAGAGUUAUGUGGGCAAAUACCGACUUUGCCCCUGAGGGGUCUCACAUCUCUAUAUAAGUAACAUGUACACCCCUUCAUAAGAGAGAGAAGAGAAAGAUGUCAGAGGCCCAACCUUAUAUCAUGUAUCUCGUGUGUUACUCUGUCGUGCUUCUGGGAAGGGAGACGGGUUCUCUACAGCUUCUCGCGCCUCUACUGCUGACGGGAGGGAAGGGAGCGGAUCUGGUGAUCCGUGGUGACGUAGUUCUCAACACAUUAUCAGCACGCUCUACCUCGACGUUGCUGCGAGAUCAUAUCUGCAUCAACUCUUCGUCAAGCUAGCAGGUCUUUUGGUCUAGCCAAACUGUCCUACGCGACAGUCUUCGAUUCUCUCUCUAUGUAAUCGAGCGGUAUGUUUACUGUUAAUGAUCUGUUGCAUGCGCUACGAUCCAUGUGCGACGAAAUAGCUAUCGCCGUCGUCGUGAUGCACCCGUGCCGGAAGCGCUCGAUAUCGCAGCAGCUAGCCCACGUCAGAAGCCAUGUAGCGCGUCUGUAGCCGCGCCCGUGCUGCGGUCGCGUCGCCGUCAGAGGAGUGCCACGUGUCGUGCGCCAGCAGCCAUGCCCGUGCUGGGGACGAGCGCCCAUCCACAGGCCAUGCCACCUAUGCGAGGGCGGCUAGCCAAGGCCGUGGGGCACCAGCUCGUUACUGUUUCUUGCCGUGCAUCGGCAUCCGCUUGCUCGAGUCCCUCACCGCGCGCAUCAGCUACAACAACACUGAGUUGCUCUAGUGGAUCUUCGGACAGAGGCUCCGCAGCCCGCCUAAGGCCUCCCAAUAAAGGACUGUGGUGCUAGUAACCGCAUAGAGAAGAAUGUGCAUCUAAAUCUAUGCGUGUGUGGCAAGUGGUAUAGAUACGCGGUCACUGAUCCAUUUUUUCAGGCGAUCGAGAGUGUAGUUGAACCGGUACCUUACUUGCACUCUUGUACCCGGUCAAGGCGGUUGGAAAAAAAAUCCUUGGCAAAGGUAACAGAUCGGCACUGUUCUCACUAUGCGGUCAAAUCAUAUAAAAAGGAAGGAAAUGGCCACACGUAUGUUCCUGACCCACUUCGUGUCGUGAAUAAAGGAAGGGGCCCGCUUUUCCUUGAUGUCGCACGUAACAAAAGAAGCAAAUCUGAAGUUAUGCUCGAUCGGCAUAAUCUAGAAAAUAAUAAUUAAAGCAUGUUUUAUGUUAUACUUUUUAUCUUAAUUAAUUAUUUCUUGCAAUAAAUAGUUAAUAAAAAAUAUAUGCUUACAUAUGAAAAAAUAUCUUUUGCACCUGAUGUGUUAUGUUUAUAUAUUAAUUAUUCUGUUUUUCUACUUUUAUUUUCUGUAGUAGAUACUUAGCAGAAAAUUAAAAUACAUAUGAAGGUUGUAUUGUGCAUACUGAAAUCGCUCUAAAUAUUUAUGUUGCGUUGAGCUUUUGGACUCACAUCGAGUGUGAUUAAAUGGUAUUGUGGGUACACAGAUGUGGCGAUCAGGUUACAUUAUUAUUCGACUAAGUUAAGACAUUGGCUAAGCAUUAGUUGCGCCCUGGUAACAUGACGCAGUAUUUGUGUCGUAUGAACUUGGCAGCGUCAUGUGAUUGCUAUGUCGCGCUCUCGCUUAAUCGGAUCGCUCCCGUUGAGUCGGACCGCCAUCACCGAGUCACACAAUUUUCGUGGGCCCUGAAGGCAUUGCAUGUGUGUCGUAACUAUUGAGUCACAGUUGUGCUUGUUGCGCCUGUUGUGCCUGUUGCAUGUACUUAUCGUGUACCCCAACUACCAAGCCACAACUGCAUCUGUUGCGCUGGUUACGAAGGUUUGAUGUGUUGUCGUUGCCCUGAUAGUCGCACAUGUGUUGACGCCAGAUACACUAGAGCUUGUAUUCGCGUGGAUUGUGGUGGGUUGUUCAAGCCCCUAAAGUCACAUUAUGCGCAACCUUCAUAAACAAUUUUGUUUGGUUCUAUAUUUUAUUUGAUUGUGUUGUGUGGCAUUAUAUAUUUAUAUAUCGCCAAGUGGCCAUAACAACUAUAUCAAGCUCUAUAGAGUUUGGAAAUCUAAGAAAUUAAAUAAAAAUACAAUAAAACACAAAUAAGUUAUUUUUUGCUCUCUCUCCUCAUGCAUAAAAGUUUUACCCGAAGUAAACCGAAGAUAUAUAAUGCAUGAAAGCUGAGAGCACCUAGAGGGGGGGUGAAUAGGUGAUCCUGUAAAACUUAAAAACUUAGGCCACAAAAACUUGUUAAGCGUUAGCACAGUUAAUGCCAAGUGGCUAGAGCGAAGAUCUUGCACAAUAUGAUAAUCACAAAGAGUUCAACACAGAGAAGACACAGUGAUUUAUCCCGUGGUUCGGCCAAGUACAAAACUUGCCUACUCCACGUUGUGGCGUCCCAACGGACGAGAGUUGCACUCAACUCCUCUCAAGUGAUCCAAUGAUCAACUUGAAUACCACAGUGUUAUGCUUUUCUUUUCUUAUCGCGUUUGCGAGGAAUCUCCACAACUUGGAGUCUCUCACCCUUACACUUGAAGUUCACAAAGAAGCACGGAGUAAGGGAGAGAAGCAACACACACAAAUCCACAGCAAAAUGCGCACACACACGGCCAAGAAUCGAGCUCAAAAGACUAUCUCAAAGUUCUCACUAAAACGGAGCUCGAAUCACUGAGAAUGACAAACAAUUGCGCAAAGACUGAGUGUGGAUGAUCAAGAAUGCUCUAAGGUUGCUUGUUUUUCCUCCAUGCGCCUAGGGGUCCCUUUUAUAGCCCCAAGGCAGCUAGGAGCCGUUGAGAGCAAAUCUGGAAGGCCAUCCUUGCCUUCUGUCGUCGGGCGCACCGGACAGUCCGGUGCACACCGGACACUGUCCGGUGCCCGAUUUCCUUCCUUAAACAGCGCAGCCGACCGUUGCAGAUCUGGGAGCCGUUGGCGCACCGGACAUGUCCGGUGCCCCUUCCGACCGUUGGCCAGGCCACGUGUCGCGCGCGGAUUCCGCGGCCGACCGUUGGCUCACCGGACAGUCCGGUGAAUUAUAGCCGUACGCCGUCGGCGAAUUCCCGAGAGCGACCACUUCACGCCAAGUCAGCCUGGCGCACCGGACACUGUCCGGUGCACCACCGGACAGUCCGGUGUGCCAGACUGAGCUGAGUCCUGGCUGUACACAGCCAAGUCUUUUUCAUCUCUUUUCUUUUCUUCUUCUUUCUGUUUCUAACACUUAGACAAGUAUAUUAGUACACAAAACCAAUGUACUAAGGCUUAGAAACAUACCUUUACUCUUGAUUUGCACUUUGUUCAUCCAUGAGCAUAGAUUCACAUUUAAGCACUUGUGUUGGCACUCAAUCACCAAAAUACUUAGAAAUGGCCCAAGGGCACAUUUCCCUUUCAAUCUCCCCCUUUUUGGUGAUUUAUGCCAACACAACAUAAAGCAACUAGAACAAGUGCAAAAUCACUUCAAAUAAAACUCAAAUUUAUUUUGAUUCAAUUUUGGCAUAUAUGGAUCAUCCUUUGCCACCACUUGGUUUGUUUUUGCAAGUCAAACUCAAAUCUCUAUCUCUAAGUCAAACACACAUGUUGAAGCAUAAAGAGAGUCAUUCCAAAAGAGAUUUAUCAAAGAUUUCAAAAACUCCCCCUAUUUCCCAUAAUCAACACUUCUCCCCACAAGAAGCCAACUUUUGACAAAAGAGACAAUGAAAGAGUUUUGACAAACCAAAAGCUCUAUUCUACUAUUUUCAAAGUUUCUCAAGUGGUAGCUGAUCCAUCUAUUGCUUUGGCCUUUAUUUUCUCCCCCUUUGGCAUCAAGCACCAAAACGGGAUCAAUCUUGGCCCUAGAACCCCAUUGCCUCACCGAAAUCUUCAAUUAAGAGCAAAUGGCAAUAAGAGUUCAUGAGAUGAACUUGGAAUAAGUUACCCUCUCAUCGGAGUGCAGUGGAAGUCUUUCAUGGUCCAAGUCCACCUUUUCCCUUUCACUUCUCCUUCGAGACUAAAUCAAGCAAACUCAAGCAUAUGGUUAGUCUCAAAGGUUCAAGUUGUAACACAACUCCCCCUAAAUAUGUGCAUCACUUACACAAGGACUUAUGAGGUCCAGGGAGUGUUUGUACAACUUGAGCACCACAAUAAGCAACAAAAUGCAGAAUGAACAUGAUCAAAGGCAUAAACACAUGUAUGCUACAGUUCAAUCCAAGUUCCGCGAAUCUAAGACAUUUAGCUCACUACGCAGCCUGCAAAAGGUCUUCUCAUCUAGAGGCUUGGUAAAGAUAUCGGCUAGCUGGUUCUCGGUGCUAACAUGAAACACUUCGAUAUCUCCCUUUUGCUGGUGGUCUCUCAAAAAGUGAUGCCGGAUGUCUAUGUGCUUUGUGCGGCUGUGCUCAACAGGAUUUUCCGCCAUGCGGAUAGCACUCUCAUUAUCACAUAGGAGUGGGACUUUGCUCAGAUUGUAGCCAAAGUCCCUGAGGGUUUGCCUCAUCCAAAGUAGUUGUGCACAACACUGUCCUGCGGCAACAUACUCGGCCUCAGCGGUGGAUAGGGCAACGGAGGUUUGUUUCUUAGAGUUCCAAGACACCAGGGACCUUCCUAAGAAUUGGCACGUCCCCGAUGUGCUCUUCCAAUCGACCUUACAUCCAGCAUAGUCGGAGUCUGAAUAUCCAAUCAAGUCAAAGGUAGACCCCUUUGGAUACCAGAGCCCGAAGCAAGGCGUAGCAACUAAAUAUCUAAGGAUUCGCUUCACUGCCACUAAGUGACACUCCUUAGGAUCGGAUUGGAAUCUAGCGCACAUGCAUACGCUAAGCAUAAUAUCCGGUCUACUAGCACAUAAAUAAAGUAAAGACCCUAUCAUUGACCGGUAUGCUUUUUGAUCAACGGACUUACCUCCUUUGUUGAGGUCGGUGUGUCUGUCGGUUCCCAUCGGAGUCUUUGCGGGCUUGGCGUCCUUCAUCCCAAACCGCUUCAGCAGGUCUUGUGUGUACUUCGUUUGAGAGAUGAAGGUGCCGUCCUUGAGUUGCUUCACUUGGAACCCAAGGAAGUAGUUCAACUCGCCCAUCAUUGACAUCUCGAAUUUCUGCGUCAUCACCCUGCUAAACUCUUCACAAGACUUUUUAUUAGUAGAACCAAAUAUUAUGUCAUCGACAUAAAUUUGGCACACAAACAAAUCACCAUCACAUGUCUUAGUGAAAAGAGUUGGAUCGUCUUUCCCAACCUUGAAAGCAUUAGCAAUUAAGAAAUCUCUAAGGCAUUCAUACCAUGCUCUUGGGGCUUGCUUAAGUCCAUAGAGCGCCUUAGAGAGCUUACACACGUGGUUGGGGUACCGUUCAUCCUCGAAGCCAGGGGGUUGCUCCACGUACACCUCCUCCUUUAUUGGCCCGUUGAGGAAAGCGCUCUUCACAUCCAUUUGGUACAACCUGAAGGAAUGGUGAGCAGCAUAUGCUAGCAAGAUACGAAUGGACUCUAGCCUAGCCACAGGAGCAAAAGUCUCCUCAAAGUCCAAACCUGCGACUUGGGCAUAACCUUUUGCCACAAGUCGAGCCUUGUUCCGUGUCACCACCCCGUGCUCGUCCUGUUUGUUGCGGAACACCCACUUGGUUCCCACAAUAUUUUGCUUGGGACGAGGCACCAGUGUCCAAACUUCAUUGUGCUUGAAGUUGUUGAGUUCCUCCUGCAUGGCCAACACCCAGUCCAGAUCUGGCAAGGCCUCUUCUACCCUGAAAGGCUCAAUAGAAGAGACAAAGGAGUAAUGUUCACAAAAAUUAACUAAUCGAGACCGAGUAGUUACUCCCUUGCUAAUGUCACCCAGAAUUUGGUCGACGGGAUGAUCUCUUUGAAUCAUCGCUCGAACUUGGAUUGGAGGUGCCGGUUCCGCUUCUUCCUCCAUCACAUGAUCAUCUUGUGCUCCCCCUUGAUCACACGCCUCCUGUUGAUGAACCUGUUCAUCGCCUUGAGUUGGGGGAUGCACCAUAGUUGAGGAAGAAGGUUGAUCUUGUUCAUCUUGUUCCUGUGGCCGAACUUCUCCAAUCGCCAUGGUUCGUAUAGCGGCUGUCGGAACAUCUUCUUCAUCUACAUCAUCACAAUCAACAACUUGCUCUCUUGGAGAGCCGUUAGUCUCAUCAAAUACAACGUCGCUAGAGACUUCAACCAAACCCGAUGAUUUGUUGAAGACUCUAUACGCCUUUGUAUUUGAGUCAUAACCUAACAAAAACCCUUCUACAGCUUUGGGAGCAAAUUUAGAAUUUCUACCUUUCUUCACUAGAAUGUAGCACUUGCUCCCAAAUACACGAAAGUAAGAUACAUUGGGUUUGUUACCGGUUAGUAGCUCAUAUGACGUCUUCUUGAGGAGGCGAUGAAGGUAGACCCUGUUGAUGGCGUGGCAAGCCGUGUUCACGGCUUCCGUCCAAAAGCACUCGGGGGUCUUGAACUCUCCUAGCAUCGUCCUAGCCAUAUCGAUGAGCGUCCUGUUCUUCCUCUCUACCACACCAUUUUGCUGUGGUGUGUAGGGAGCGGAGAACUCGUGCUUGAUCCCUUCCUCUUCAAGGAACUCCUCUACUUGAAGGUUCUUGAAUUCGGUCCCGUUGUCGCUCCUUAUCUUCUUCACUUUGAGCUCAAACUCAUUUUGAGCUCUCCUGAGGAAGCGCUUGAGGGUCCCUUGGGUUUCAGACUUAUCCUGCAAAAAGAAUACCCAAGUGAAGCGGGAAAAGUCAUCAACAAUAACUAGACCAUACUUACUUCCUCCUAAGCUCAGAUAGGCGACAGGUCCGAAGAGGUCCAUAUGCAGCAGCUCCAGAGGUCUUGAAGUGGUCAUCACAUUCUUGCUGUGAUGUGCUCCUCCCACUUGUUUACCUGCUUGACAAGCUGCACAAGGUCUAUCUUUUUCGAAUUGAACGUUAGUCAAACCUAUCACGUGUUCUCCCUUUAGAAGCUUGUGAAGGUUCUUCAUCCCCACAUGUGCUAAGCGGCGAUGCCACAGCCAGCCCAUGCUAGUCUUAGCUAUUAAGCAUGCAUCUAGACCGGCCUCUUCUUUUGCAAAAUCAACUAAAUAAAGUUUGCCGUCUAAUAUGCCCUUAAAAGCUAGUGAACCAUCACUUCUUCUAAAGACAGACACAUCUACAUUUGUAAAUAGACAGUUAUAUCCCAUAUUGCAUAAUUGACUUACAGAUAGUAAAUUAUAUCCCAGAGACUUAACUAAAAACACAUUAGAAAUUGAGUGCUCAUUUGAGAUUGCAAUUUUACCUAACCCUUUUACCUUGCCUUGAUUCCCAUCACCGAAUAUAAUUGAAUCUUGGGAAUCCUUAUUCUUGACGUAGGAGGUGAACAUCUUCUUCUCCCCCGUCAUAUGGUUUGUGCAUCCGCUGUCGAUAAUCCAGCUUGAACCCCCGGAUGCAUAAACCUGCAAGGCAAAUUUAGGCUUGGGUUUUAGGUACCCAACUCAUGUUGGGUCCUACAAGGUUAGUGCAAAUAUCCUUAGGGACCCAAAUGCAAGUUUUGUCUCCCUUGCAUUUUGCCCCUAACUUCCUAGCAACUAUUUUCUUAUCCUUUCUACAAAUAGCAAAGGAAGCAUUUAAAGCACAAUAAAUUGUAGAAGGUUCAUUCACUACUUUCCUAGGAGCAUGAAUAACAUUCUUUCUAGGCAUAUGAUGAAUAGCAUUUUUCCUAGACAUAUUUCUACCAUGCAUAUAGGAAGAACUAGAAGCAAACAUGUGAUGAGAAUCAAAAUCAUCAUAAGCAUUGUAACUCCUAUAAGCAUUUCUAGUUUGUCUCUUAUCAUGGUACAUAAACGCAUGGUUCUUUUGCACACUACUAGCCAUAGGGGCCUUCCCUUUUUCCUUGGCGGGAAUGGGAGCCUUAUGGCUUGUUAAGUUCUUGGCUUCUUUCUUGAAGCCAAGUCCAUCCUUAAUUGAGGGGUGUCUACCAACCGUGUAGGCAUCCCUUGCAAAUUUUAGCUUAUCAAAAUCACUUUUGCUAGUCUUAAGUUGGGCAUUAAGAAUAGCCAAUUCAUCUUUUAAUUUGAAAAUUGAAACUAGAUGUUCACUACAAGCAUCAAUAUCAAAAUCUUUACACCUAGUGCAAAUCAUAACAUGUUCUACACAAGAAUUAGAUUUAUUUGCUAUUUCUAACUUAGCAUUCAUAUCAUCAUUAAUGCUCCUUAAUUUAGAAAUUGUCUCAUGACAAGAAGAUAAUUCACAAGAAAGCAUUUCAUUUCUUUUAACUUCUAGAGCAUGAGAUCUUUGAGCUUCUAUGAAUUUAUCAUGCUCUUCAUACAAUAAAUCCUCUUGUUUCUCUAAGAGUUUAUCCUUCUCAUUCAAUGCAUCAAUGAGUUCAUUUAUCUUAUCUAUCUUAGAUCUAUCUAAGCCCUUGAAUAAGCAUGAAUAGUCUAUGUCAUCAUCAUCACUAGACUCAUUAUCACUAGAGGAAGCAUAAAUGGAGUCUCGAGUACUCACCUUCUUCUCCCUUGCCAUAAGGCAUGUGUGACGCUCGUUGGGGAAGAGGGUAGAUUUGUUGAAGGCGGUGGCGGCAAGUCCUUCAUUGUCGGAGUCGGAGGAGGAGCAAUCCGAAUCCCACUCCUUUCCGAUAUGUGCCUCGCCCUUGGCCUUCUUGUAAUGCUUCUUCUUCUCCCUUUUGUUCCCUUGGUCCUGAUCACUAUCAUUGUCGGGACAGUUAGCAAUAAAAUGACCAAGCUUACCGCAUUUGAAGCAUGAGCGCUUCCCCUUGGCUUUGGUCUUGCUUGGCUGUCCCUUGCGACCCUUAAGCGCCGUCUUGAAUCUUUUGAUGAUGAGGGCCAUCUCUUCAUCAUUGAGUCCGGCCGCCUCUAUUUGUGUCACCUUGCUAGGUAGCGCCUCCUUGCUUCUUGUUGCUUUGAGAGCAAGAGGUUGCGGCUCGUUGCUUGGUCCAUUCAGGGCGUCGUCCACGUACCUCGCCUCCUUGAUCAUCAUUCGCCCGCUGACGAAUUUUCCUAGGACUUCUUCGGGCGACAUUUUGGUGUACCUGGGAUUCUCACGAAUAUUAUUCACCAAAUGAGGAUCAAGAACGGUAAAAGACCUUAGCAUUAGUCGGACGACGUCGUGGUCCGUCCAUCGCGUGCUUCCGUAGCUCCUUAUUUUGUUAAUAAGGGUCUUGAGCCGGUUGUAUGUUUGAGUUGGCUCCUCGCCCCUUAUCAUCGCGAACCGUCCAAGCUCGCCCUCCAUCAACUCCGUUUUGGUAAGCAAGGUAACGUCAUUUCCCUCAUGAGAAAUUUUGAGGGUGUCCCAUAUCUGCUUGGCAUUGUCCAAGCCGCUCACCUUGUUGUACUCGUACCUGCACAAGGAGGCUAGCAACACAGUAGUAGCUUGUGCAUUUUUAUGAAUCUGUUCAUUAAUAAACAUAGGGCUAUCCGAGCUAUCAAAUUUCAUUCCAUUCUCUACAAUCUCCCAUAUGCUUGGAUGGAGAGAGAAUAAAUGACUACGCAUUUUGUGACUCCAAAAUCCAUAGUCCUCCCCAUCGAAGUGUGGAGGUUUGCCAAGAGGAAUGGAAAGCAAAUGCGAAUUCGAACUAUGUGGAAUGCGAGAAUAGUCAAAUGAAAAGUUCGAAUUGACCGUUUUCCUGUAGUCGUUAUCUUCGUCCUUUUGGGAAGAAGAUGAUUCGUCGCUGUCGUAGUAGACGAUCUCCUUGAUGCGCCUUGUCUUCUUCUUCUUCCCAUCUUUUCGCUUGUGGCUUGAGCCCAAGUCGGUAGACUUGUCAUUCUUCGGCUCGUUGAAGAUAGACUCCUUCUCGUUGUUGUCGACCACCAUCCCCUUUCCCUUAGGAUCCAUCUCUCCGGGCGAUUAGUCCCUUCUUGAAGAGAAUGGCUCUGAUACCAAUUGAGAGCACCUAGAGGGGGGGGGGUGAAUAGGUGAUCCUGUAAAACUUAAAAACUUAGGCCACAAAAACUUGUUAAGCGUUAGCACAGUUAAUGCCAAGUGGCUAGAGCGAAGAUCUUGCACAAUAUGAUAAUCACAAAGAGUUCAACACAGAGAAGACACAGUGAUUUAUCCCGUGGUUCGGCCAAGUACAAAACUUGCCUACUCCACGUUGUGGCGUCCCAACGGACGAGAGUUGCACUCAACUCCUCUCAAGUGAUCCAAUGAUCAACUUGGAUACCACAGUGUUAUGCUUUUCUUUUCUUAUCGCGUUUGCGAGGAAUCUCCACAACUUGGAGUCUCUCACCCUUACACUUGAAGUUCACAAAGAAGCACGGAGUAAGGGAGAGAAGCAACACACACAAAUCCACAGCAAAAUGCGCACACACACAGCCAAGAAUCGAGCUCAAAAGACUAUCUCAAAGUUCUCACUAAAACGGAGCUCGAAUCACUGAGAAUGACAAACAAUUGCGCAAAGACUGAGUGUGGAUGAUCAAGAAUGCUCUAAGGUUGCUUGUUUUUCCUCCAUGCGCCUAGGGGUCCCUUUUAUAGCCCCAAGGCAGCUAGGAGCCGUUGAGAGCAAAUCUGGAAGGCCAUCCUUGCCUUCUGUCGUCGGGCGCACCGGACAGUCCGGUGCCCGAUUUCCUUCCUUAAACAGCGCAGCCGACCGUUGCAGAUCUGGGAGCCGUUGGCGCAUCGGACAUGUCCGGUGCCCCUUCCGACCGUUGGCCAGGCCACGUGUCGCGCGCGGAUUCCGCGGCCGACCGUUGGCUCGGCCGACCGUUGGCUCACCGGACAGUCCGGUGCACACCGGACAGUCCGGUGAAUUAUAGCCGUACGCUGUCGGCGAAUUCCCGAGAGCGGCCACUUCACGCCAAGUCAGCCUGGCGCACCGGACACUGUCCGGUGCACCACCGGACAGUCCGGUGUGCCAGACUGAGCUGAGUCCUGGCUGUACACAGCCAAGUCUUUUUCACCUCUUUUCUUUUCUUCUUCUUUCUGUUUCUAACACUUAGACAAGUAUAUUAGUACACAAAACCAAUGUACUAAGGCUUAGAAACAUACCUUUACUCUUGAUUUGCACUUUGUUCAUCCAUGAGCAUAGAUUCACAUUUAAGCACUUGUGUUGGCACUCAAUCACCAAAAUACUUAGAAAUGGCCCAAGGGCACAUUUCCCUUUCAAAAGCCUUUUUGGCAUAGGAGAUAUCACACAUUGGAAUCCUAUUAGUAAGCAAAACGACCUUACCAAAUGUUUUAAGGCUAUAAAUCUCAGUUAUAAAUUGCUCAACCAGAUGUUGACACAUUGCUCUCUUUGUCGUUGAACGACAUGAAGCAAACUUUGAGAUAAAUGGCUAGUACCAUAGCAACACGAAGUUGUGAGUACACUGAGAGGUUAUUCUUAGAGAAAAAAUCACCAUGUUGGUGUGAAAAAACAUUGUGUGUUCCCGUCGAACCACUUUGCUUGUCCUAUCUAGGACCUAUAUGCUUGUAUUGCAUACAUAUAUCAGAAUUGUAAAUACUCAUAGUCGCUGAAUUGACUCAGGGUAGUACUUUGACGAGAAUGGUAAAGGUCAGUCCUGAAUGGACACAUACCUAGGGUUUAUGUAGCCUAACCACACUUGAUUUCACCCUUUGGCAUCCUUACAUUAUCUACCUCCGAUCUACCAGAAGUAAGAAGAGUAGAAAAAUAGUCGUGAAAUCCCACAUCACCACAGAGCUUGAAGCUACAUUAGACAUUAAUUUGUCCUUGGUUCUUGGCGUUGGAAGAGCCACAAUUCUCGACCACAAUAUUGUUCGUGAUGUUAAUUUGUGAUAAAAAUAUAAAUAUCUUAUGGAGACCUGGUGUAUUCUCCCUAGUCCUAAUGACUCCUUCGUAUGAGAGUAGUACUAUCUGUUGUUGAAGCCUGGUCCCAGACGGAUAUCGUUCUUGUUUCGCUCUUGCCAAGCAGUUAUCACCAUUUGCUUCGUGAAAAAGCUUAGCAAUCUGGUGAUUGUUUCCCAGAUAAAAGGAAUUCUUGGCCUUGUCUGUUCUAUUCCAAAGCUUCUCUUUUUGCUGAACAAUGAAGAGAUCGAAAUAAUGCUUUAUAGAACAAGUUGGUAUAUAAUAUGAGGAGAAAAGUUUGUCCUGCUGGCAUCUUACAUCACAAAUGAUUGAUUAUUGUUAUAAGUUCUCUCUCAAAAUUAUAAUACCUAAAAAUGUUGCAUAAAUUGAUACCCAAUUUAUGAACGGUAUAAGUAAUUGGGUAAAUCAUGGGCAAUGAUAAAAUGAGCUAGACUAUACAACUCUGCAUAUAAAAAUCUCUGCUUGGCAACAUUGGCCUGAUGCCAUGCACUUUACUACCAUUAUAUGUGUACCCAUUUUUCCUAUGUACUUCAAAGCACAAAGCAACCAGUGAAUGUUGUUGUGAGCACUAGACCCUGAUGGUCAUUUUACUUGUUGAUCUUAAGUCAACUAGUUGCUCCAAACGACGAAUGGUGUGCAUGAGCCCCUCAAGGACCCUUAUGGCUAACAUAGUGUUGUGCAUAUCAGUCUAAAUCUUAACAAUUGAUUGUGUAUUUGGUAACAAUAACAGUAAGUUUGCAGAACCAUAAAACAACUUGUUGUUGUGUGUCUUGCUAGAAGUUGAGACUAACCCUUCACAUUGAAGGAAAAGAAUGUAGUAUUCAUGCCACUGCAUUAAUCUAAGUCCAAAGCUCACUGCAUAAAACCCCUAUCUGUAAUGUGCAUAAGAUUUCCCAAAUAAAUUACCACAAAUAGCAUACAUCGGCCACAACUAGAUGAUUGUGGUUGGGGAUUUUAUCUAUAUGCUUUUAAGAACAUCUCGACAUUAGGGGGAGGAAUGCCCAUAUAGUGUAAUGCAUCAAUAUUCUAUUAAACGCACAAAAGCCAAACUGAACCUAUCAUUCGGUGUGUAAUCCUGUGUAUAUGGAGUUUGCCAGAAAUCUUUGAGGAGUAACCAUAUUGGUCUGAAUGCUUCUACCUGAUGUAGAUGUGGAUAUACCUGAGAUUAAUAUCAUAUCCACAUUUGACUUAUUGGCAUUUGAUCUAUUCUCGGGGACGCCUGCGAAUAUGAUCCAUUGGCCUUAGUCAAAGCAUAUGUUUUGAUUGCAGAUUCACGUGGGCUGAAAUAACUUUCCUCCGAUGAACUCUCCCUGCUGGUGAUUUGCCUCACGAAGAGGUUCAUCUUGAUGAUGAAGUUCCUAGCAAUGCGGCAAUAUCAUUGUGCUGGGAAUGCGGAACAAUGAAUCUUUCGUUUUGGGAAAUGACAUAGAUCAUUAUUAAAUGUGGGAGACAAAUAUGUCGACACCUAUCUUGCCUCUCUAGAUUGCAAAGGGAUCCAAAACAAAGUCCUAGGCAUGAGUGUUUGAAGCUCUCUUAUCGGGUCAAUGAUAAAUGCAAUCGAGGCUGAACCAAUAAUCGCUAAAUGAAAGUCGCGAGCUUGAAGUUCGGACAUUUAUGGGCACUAUUGAAAUAAUGUGUGGUGAAUGUGAUGGUUCAAGUGGUCUUGUGAGAGACCCACCCCACAUAUGUGUUGAAUAAACAUUGUUCUGCUAUGUAAUAUAUUUGGCAAAUGACAUGAAUUAAAAUAUACAGUUAAUAGGAUUCUGAAGAUCCAUCAUGAGAUCCUAUGAGGAUUCAUAUCUUUGAUUUAUAAAUAUGCAACAUAUAAAUCUCAUACCGAAUAAUACAUUCCUGAUGAAUGACCACUCUCCAGUGUAGAGAGAAUAUCUCCUAGUUGAGAUUAUAGUUCCCAACUGGAACCUUCCAAGAGGAAACAAAGUCUGUGUUCAACACCAAAGUUUGAUAACCACAAUAAAGGGAUAAAGGCCCAUACAGACCCGAAAAGGAAUAAGAUGAGGUACCAAAGGGCUUGAAGUUCACCGAAUAAGCACAUGUGCAUUCCACGAGUUUUACUCAUGGUAUUUUCCACUUGAUGUGGAAUUACGGUAUCCUCUAAAGCCCUGAUGGCAGAAACCUAUAAGAUUUAGGUGUUUCUGGCAAAAUAUCCCCAUUGUGCCAGAAUGACAGACUAUAACGAUGUAUUUGAUCGAUGAAAAAUCCCUGAUGGAUUACGAUCUUUGAUGGACUUUUGUUACACCAUCAUAGAAGUUGUAAUGAAUAAACGCCUGGAGUGAUGAGUCAUAUCUAGAAUAUGUACUAUUACAACUAUAAUAUCUCCUAAGUCCUAUGGAAGGACAAAUUAUUUGCUUUGCACAACUAUGUGUUGACAACUUUUUGGAGGCGUCAAAUACUCAAGAAGAACCGGCGGCGGUGCUCUCUGGUCAGGCGCGGACGGUCCGCGGCCUGGGGCCGAACGGUCCGCGACCUGGCGCAGGGGCUAGAGUUUCCUGCCUGACGGCCGGACGGUCCGCGCCCUGGGGCCGGAUGGUCCGCGUGUGUGCAGGGGCGGCGGAAGAUCGCCGGCGGCGCCUGGAUCUCGCUCCCGGGAGGGACCCCGUCGGGGAGGAGAGAUCCUAGGGGUUGUCUAGGCUUGGGCCGGCCGACCUAGACUCCUCUAAUCGGCAUAGAGUCGAAGAGAGGCGAAGAAUUUGGGGAUCAAGAGGCUAAACUAGAACUAGAAUAGAACUACUCCUAAUUAUACUGGAAAUAAAUGCGAAUAGAAGUUGUAUUGAUUCGAUUGAUGAUUACAAAUCGCCCGUAGACCUCUCUUUUUAUAGAGGAGGGGGGCUGGACCCUUUACAUGACUGGAUUCCGAGCUAAUUCCGCAAAUCUAGCCAACAAACAUAGCACAAAACUCGGAACCCUAAACUGUUCUGCGUAUGCGCGGACCGUCCGGCCCACAGGCGCGGACUGUCCGGACCGCGGACCGUCCGGCCUCAGGGCCGGACCGUCCGCCAGGCUCAAAACGGUGCUCAACAUAUGCCCCCCUGCCUUUUGGUGGAGCUGAGCAAACCAAAAGCAACUAACUCGAUGUGAUUACAUCGGUUCUCUUAGGCAUCUUGCCACAUACUAGGAUGGUACUGUUUGAGGAAACGCUCAUUCAAAGCCUUAGGCAAAUCCUUGCCUUGUAAUGUUUGUAGCAAAUAGGCGUUGCCAGACAUCACCUGUUUUACUUUAUAAGGACCCUCCCAGCUUGGCGACCAUUUCCCGAACUUCCGGUCUUUAUUCCUUAGAGGCAGAAUAGUAUUCCACACCAGGUCCCCUACUUGAAAUGAUUUUGCUUUUACCUUCUUGUUGUAGGCCCUGGCUACCAUGAUCUUGUCCUUUUCUAUUGCUCCCAAAGCUAUCAUCCUCUUGUCGGUCACCUCAUCAAUAUUAUCCAUCAUUGAAUUAUAAUAAUCAGUAGCAGUUAGAUCAUUUUGUCUGGCGAACAUGACAGCAUUCAUACUUAUUUCCACAGGCAACACUGCUUCCUGCCCAUAGACAAGCUCAAAAGGAGACACUUUAGUAGCCCUAUGUUUAGAUAUCCUAUGAGCCCAUAAAGCUUCAGACAAAAUCUUAUGUUAGGAUUAUCAGAUAUCUUCUUUUUUAUCAAAUUAAUCAAUGUCCUAUUACUAGACUCGGCCUGUCCAUUGGCCUGAGCAUAAUAUGGAGAUGAAUUAAGCAUCUUAAUUCUGUAUAAUUCAGCAAACUCACGUACCUCCUUUGACAUAAAAGAAGUACCUUGAUCUGUAGUCAAGGUCUGGGGAAUGUCGAAUCUAUGAAUAAUAUGCUCAGUUAUGAACUCAAUAACCUCCUUGUGCGUCAUGUUCUUUAGAGCAACGGCUUCAGUCCAUUUGGUGAAAUAGUCAGUGGCAACUAACACAAACCGAUGCCCCUUUGAUGAUGAAGGAUGAAUUUCUCCAAUAAAGUCUAAUCCCCAUCCUUUGAACGGCCAAGGCUUGAUGAUAGGAUGUAAUUCGGCUGCAGGGACCAACUGUAGGUCGCCGAAUUUUUGACACAUUUGGCAACCCUUGUAGUACUUGAAACAAUCAGCUAUCAUACUAGGCCAAUAAAAACUAGACCUUCGCAACAACCACUUCAUCUUUGGAGCUGAUUGAUGGGUACCACAAAUUCCUUCAUGUACUUCGGCCAUGGCUAAUAUAGCAUCAUCUGGGCCCAAGCACUUGAGCAGGACGUCAUUGACUGUUCGGCGGUAAAGUUCAUCACUCAUCAAAACAUACUUGAAAGUUGUUCGCCGAAUGUUCUUAUAUGUCCUAAUAUUGGGAUUUCAUAAAUAAUUAAGUAUAGGUGUCCUCCAAUCACUUGCAUCGGCUUCAUUAUCAGCCGAAUCGAUUAAGAGAACAUUUCUGGUAACCCCGGACGGUCCGGCGUCAUCACGCUGACGGUCCGCGACCUGGGAAUUUGGCUCUGCACUGGUUAUCAGAUUUUCAGUUUUCUGAAAUUUCCCUCUCUUUAUCCGAUAACCUGAUGCAUCUUGUGCCAAAUCGUUAGCUCUAUGAUUCUCAACUCUAGAGAUAUGCCGAAUGCUGAAUUCGUCAAAAGAAUGGAUUAUGCUCCAACAUUUCUCAAGGUAACUAUUUAGAGUACCAUCAAAACAUUGAUAUUCUUCUAACACUUGUUGGACCACCAGUUGAGAAUCACCAAAUACCUUCACAUGUUUUACUCCCAUACCAUUUAAAAGUUCUAAGCCAAAUAGGAGGGCCUCAUAUUCAGCUUGAUUAUUAGUGCAAUAAGUUUUCAAUCGGCUAGAGAAGUCAAAGGAGACAUUACUUGGUGAAACAAGCACAAUGCCAAUUCCUUGCCCUUCAUUGCAAACUGAUCCAUCGAAAUAUAAAGUCCAAGGAGUAAUAGUGAGGUAUGACAUGUCUAGUUCAUGAAUAUCAUUAACCCGAUGUUCUACAAUGAAAUCCGCUACGACUUGGCCUUUCAUAGAUUUCAAUGGUUCAUAGGCCAAGUCAUAUUCUAUGAGUGCAUAAGCCCACUUACCAAUUCUACCACUCAUAAUUGGGUUAUGCAACAUGUAUUUGAUCACAUCGGCUUGACCAGAAAUAGUGCAAUGACUAGACAGUAAAUAACAUCUACAUUUGGUGCAUGCAUAAAACAAGCAUAAGCAUAACUUUUCAAUAAAAGUGUACCUUGUUUCAGCAUCCACCAACCUUCGGCUUAGAUAUGUCACCACAUGCUCCUUCCCCUCAGUUUCUUGUGUCAGAACAGCCCCAAUGACCUUAUCCUCAGCUGCAAUGUAUAAUCAGAAUGGUACUCCUGCUCGUGGUGCUUUUAAUACGGGAGCCGAAGAUAAGUAUUUUUUGAUGGGAUCAAAUGCUUCUUGCUGUUCUGCCCCCAAGCGAAUUCGGCAUCAUUCUUAAGCCGAAGAAUAGGGGUGAACGCAUCAAUCUUCUCGGCUAGGUUAGAAAUAAACCUUCGUAAAUAAUUCACAUUGCCGAGAAACUUCUGUACCUCGACCUUACAGGUCGGAGGUCUCACAUUCCGAAUAGACUUGAUUCGGUCAGGGUCUAUCUCUAUACCAUGUUCAUGUAUGACAAAUCCUAAAAACUUACCAGUCGACACUCCAAAAGCACAUUUACGUGGGUUCAUUUUCAAACCAUACCGACGCAUUUUAUCAAAGGCUUUGCGCAAAUCAGCUAUACAAGAACUAAACUCAGCCGAUUUGACUACAAUAUCAUCAAUGUAAACUUCCACAGUGUUUCCUAACAAUUCAUGGAAGAUCAAAUUCAUAGCCUUCUGAUAAGUAGCACCAGCAUUUUUCAGACCAAAUGUCAUGACAACCCACUCAAAUAAACCAAUGAAGCCUGGACAUAUAAAGGCCGUUUUAGACGCAUCUUCUUCGGCCAUGAAAAUCUGAUUAUAUCCGGCAUUACCAUCAAGGAAGCUAAUAAUUCUAUUCCCUGAUGCAUUAUUGAUUAAUGUGUCGGUUAUGGGCAUGGGAUAUUCGUCUUUAGGAGUUGCUCUAUUUAAAUUGCGAAAAUCAAUGCAUACUCUAAGCUUACCUGACUCCUUCUUCUCCAUCGGCACAAUAUUGGAGACCCACUCUGCGUAUCUGCAAGGUCUGAUAAAAUCAGCUUCUAGUAGCCGGUGGAUUUCGUCCUUGAUGCGUGGGAGAAGAUCUGGACGAAAUGUUCUAGCUCUUUGCUUGAAAGGUCUGAAACCAGACUUAAUAGGCAGCCGAUGCUCUACGAUCUCUCGGCUUAAUCCAGGCAUCUCAGUGUAAUUCCAAGCAAAGCAAUAUGAAUAUUCCUUCAAUAGACCGAUCAUCUCAUCUCUAGGAUCGGUCUCUAGGGUCUUGUUUACAAAAGUCGGCCUUGGAGUUUUACCAUCUCCUAUGUCAAUCUCCUCCAAAGGAUCGGCCGAUGUAAACCCCUGUCCUAGUUUAUCAAGAUCUCUAAAUUCCUCUAUCAUGUUCCCCCCAGAGGAAUUAGAUGAUCUUUGUAUGACGGCGGACUUUCCGGUCUCGGGGACCGGAUCAUCCAUAAUACUAUCCUUUUGAUGUGAUAUAUGUUCGGUCUUAAAGUUCGAACCCUUUUGUGAAAGACCAGACCAUCCGGCCUUGGAAGCCGAACUGUCCAUGACCAGGGACUCAUGAACUUUGUGUGUAUUCAUCAUUUAAACUUUAUUUAGGAUUUAGCCGAUUCUCCAUCGGCUCUAGCAUUACAGGAAUGAAACCUUUCUUAUCUAUACUUAUGAAUUGAUAAUCAGAAAAAUCUACUCCUGUGAGACAUGUAGCAGUCUCAUAAGUCCAGAGUACAGGGGCAUUGGCCACAGCGAUGCAGGCCGAUACAUCAGCAUGUACUUAUUCUAUGUCAUCGCCUACCCAUUGUAUUAGCAUUUGAUGUAAUGUAGAAGGUAUACAUUGAUUGGCGUGAAUCCAAUCUCUGCCUAGGAUUAAACUGUAAUUUCCUUCUACAUCAGCGACGAAGAAUGCAGCGGCAAGGGUCUUAGUCCCGAUGGUUAAUUCAACGGACGUGACUCCCCUGGCUUUGAUCGAACUAUCAGUUCCAACACCGCUGAGGGUCAUGUUGGUUUUGACAAGUUCGUCAUCUUGUUUACCUAAUUUUCUGUACAAUGAAUAAGGCAUUAGAUUUACAGUCGCCCCUCCAUCUACCAACAUCUUAGUAAUCGGUAUCCCAUCAAUGUGGCCGCGCACGAAGAGCGGCUUUAAAUGAUUUACCGAUUCUCUUGGUUUAGUAAAGGCGGCUUCUUUAGGACCAAAAUCAAACUGGGCAACAACAGGUUCAUCGUCGCCGAUGAUAGUACAAUCGGCAGAAAAUGUAAUAAUAUUUUUACAUCCAUAUCUGGGCGUUCUGGAGAAGCCUCGUAGUCGACCAGGUCUUCUUCCAGCAGGUCGUCCUCUUCCAUUGAUGUUGUCGUGUCGUUGGAGGCUUCCUGGUGAACGGCGGACGGUCCGCGCGCGGGGGCUGGACGGUCCACGCCUGGUGCAGGUUGUCCAGAGGCUUCCUGGUGAACGGCGGACGGUCGGCGCGCGGGGACCGGACGGUCCGCGCCUGGUGCAGGUUGUCCAGAGGCUUCCUGGUGAACGGUGGACGGUCCGUGCGCGGGGGCCGGACGGUCCGCGCCUGGUGCAGGUUGACUUUCUAUUUCUGUGGUCGUUUGUUUUUUCUCAACGGCCUUCGGUCUCCAUUUCUUUUGCGGUGGCGGGUAUAGUGGAUGUGUGUCAUUAAAUGUCUUUUCCGCCUCCUUCUCCUGGCUCUCCUUUGCUCUUAGGCGCUGUAAUUUUCUCUUUUGGGAUCGUGUCAAUCCCGCUGGGCACCAUCGAGGCAUGGAGUAUUUUGGAUCGGCUGUUUUGAUGGUAGCCGUAUCCUUUUCGGUUGUGUUGGCCGAUUCGCCGAAAAUCAUCGGCCCUUUAUUGUCUCCCUGUAUGACAACAUCUACAGUGCCUAUUUUGAUGAUGUCCUUUUUUGUUGUUCUUUGAGUUGCUACAGGCAUAUGCCCCCCUGCCGGAUUGGUCGGCCUAGGAGGCCGAGUAGUCCGGCAAUCUUGUUGGGCCUGUGCCUGGUGACCGGAUUCAGCGGCGCUCAAUCGGUCUUGCACUGGCGGCGCCAACCUAUCAAAAACGGAUGUUUGGGGUGCCCCCCAGGCGGGGUAUUGUGGCAUCCCAAAUGGAUAUGGUGGCAUGCCCCACAUUUGAUUUGAGACAUAUGGUGGAGGUAAGUAUGUGUAUGGAUAUGGCAUAGAUGGAUAAGGGGGUGGAGGUGUCCAUGUCGGCAUGUUAGGUCUCAAUUGUACAAUAGGACCUUUCAUUUCUUCCGAUUGGUGAGGUGGUCCAAUCGGCCUGACCUGACGUUGCUCAUGAAUGGGUGAGCGGGGUCGCUUUGGUGGCCGGUCACUGGGGCCGGCCUUCUUUUUCACGUAUUUAGACAACAAUUGAUCGAAAGUCGGGCCAGGCUUGAUCAGCCAACCAGCUGCUUUAAAUGUAUUUGUUUUCCACGUACCUAUCUCUGGUCGUCGUGGUUUGAAGGUAUGUGGUCGCUGCGAGUCCUGAGCAUGGCCGAACCGUUCGCUAGAGUCCUCCGGACCGUCCGGAGAAGCGUCGGACCGUCCGCGUCUAGACGGCGGACUGUCCGUGAUGCGCAGCACGGGUUCCAGCAACUGUCUCCCUGUCUGCGCUUGCCCCCCAGUGCUAGAGGCUGUGAUGGUCACCUUCAGGGUCUCCCCUCCAUCGGGAGUCUUCUCGGCCACCACUUUCCGGCAAGAAACUUUACAAUCCCCAUCGGCUUUUUUAGCAUUGUCGAUGAUUGUUUCCUUGCCUUUGCCUUUAUCAGCUGUAUUUUGCCGAACCAGGACUUUCUUGCCCUCGAAGUCAAUCAUGUUCAUCGGAAAGGGCUCUGUAUCCACCUGCAUUUCCUGAAAUUUCAAUCGUCCUUCGUUAAUGGCCGAUUGAAUCUGUCGCCGAAAUACAUUACAAUCAUUAGUGGCAUGAGAAAAUGAGUUAUGCCACUUGCAGUAUGCACGACGUUUUUGAAAGGGAAAUGUGCCUUUGGGCCAUUUCUAAGUAUUUUGGUGAUUGAGUGCAAACACAAGCGCUUAAAUGUGAAAAUAUGCCCAAGGAUGAACAAAGUGCAAAUCACAAGUUAAGGUAUGUUUCUAAGCCUUAGUACAUUGGUUUGUGUACUAAUAUUCUUGUCUAAGUGUUAGAAACAGGAAGAAGAAAAGAAGUGGAGAGUGGCUGUGUGCAGUCAAAGGCUGCUUCGGGCUGGGGCACCGGACUGUCCGGUGUGCACCGGACAGUGUCCGGUGCGCCAGACCAGCGCGGAGCAAACCAGCCGCUCUCGGGUUUUUUCUCCGGCGACUUCGGCUAAAAUUCACCGGACUGUCCGGUGUGCACCGGACUGUCCGGUGAGCCAACGGUCGGCCGGGCCAACGGUCGGCCGCACGAUCACCGCGCGACACGUGGCCGAGCCAACGGUCGGAUGGAAGCACCGGACUGUCCGGUGUGCACCGGACUGUCCGGUGCGCCAGAUCUGCAGUAGUCGGCAACGGUCGGCUGCGCCUGUUAAGGAAAGAAAUCGGGCACCGGACAGUGUCCGGUGUGCACCGGACUGUCCGGUGCGCCCGACGACAGAAGGCAAGGAUGGCCUUCCAGAAUUGUUCUCAACGGCUCCUAGCUGCCUUGGGGCUAUAAAAGGGACCCCUAGGCGCAUGGAGGAAAUAACCAAGCAUUCCUUGAGCACUCUUGAUCACUCACACAUCAAUCUUGCGCACUUGUUCGACAUUCUAGUGAUUUGAGCUCCGUUCUAGUGUGCUAGUCUUUUGAGCUCAAGUCUGGGUCUUGGGUGUGCGUAUUCGCUGUGAUCUUUGUGUCGUGUGUGAGUUGCUAAUCCCUCCCUUGCUCUGUGAUUCUCUGUAAACAUCUUUUGUAAGGGCGAGAGGCUCCAAGUUGUGGAGAUUCCUCGCAAACGGGAUUGAGAAAAGAAAAGCAAGAACACCGUGGUAUUCAAGUUGAUCAUUGGAUCACUUGAGAGGAGUUGAGUGCAACUCUCGUCCGUUGGGACGCCACAACGUGGAGUAGGCAAGUUUUGUACUUGGCCGAACCACGGGAUAACCACCGUGUCAUCUCUGUGAUUGAUUUCUUGUGGUUAUUGUGUUUUGACUCCUCUCUAGCCACUUGGCCAUAAUUGUGCUAACACUUAACAAGUCUUUGUGGCUUAAGUUUUGAAGUUUUACAGGAUCACCUAUUCACCCCCCCCCCCCCUCUAGGUGCUCUCAAUUGGUAUCAGAGCCGUUCUCUUCAAGAAAGGGACUAACCGCCCGAAAAGAUGGAUCCUAAGGGGAAGGGAAUUGUGAUCAACUACAAGGAGAAGGAGUCCUUCGUCAACGAGCCAAGGGAUGACAAGUCCAAUGACUCGGGCUCGGGCCACAAGCGAAGAGAUGGGAAGAAGAAGAAGACAAGACGCAUCAAGGAGAUCGUCUACUACGACAGCGAUGAGUCCUCUUCUUCCCAAAAGGACGACGACCACGACAAACAAAGGAAACCGAUUAAUUCUAACUUUUCUUUUGACUACUCUCGUAUUCCGCAAAGUUCAAAUUCACAUUUGCUUUCCAUUCCACUCGGCAAGCCCCCACACUUUGAUGGGGAGGACUACGGAUUUUGGAGCCACAAAAUGCGUAGUCACCUAUUCUCUCUCCAUCCUAGCAUAUGGGAGAUUGUAGAUAGUGGAAUGCACUUUAAUAGUUCGGAUAGUCCUAUAUUCAUUAAUGAGCAAAUCCAUAAGAAUGCACAAGCUACUACUGUUCUUCUAGCCUCAUUGUGCAGAGAUGAAUAUAAUAAAGUGAGUGGCUUGGAUAACGCCAAGCAAAUCUGGGAUACCCUCAAGAUCUCUCAUGAGGGAAAUGACGCUACCUUGCUCACCAAAAUGGAGUUGGUGGAGGGCGAGCUUGGACGGUUCGCGAUGAUAAGGGGCGAGGAGCCAACUCAGACAUACAACCGGCUCAAGACCCUUAUCAACAAAAUAAGGAGCUACGGAAGCACGCGAUGGACGGACCACGACGUCGUCCGACUAAUGCUCAGGUCCUUUACCGUUCUUGAUCCUCAUUUGGUGAAUAAUAUUCGUGAGAAUCCCAGGUACACCAAAAUGUCGCCCGAAGAAGUCCUAGGAAAAUUCGUCAGCGGGCGAAUGAUGAUCAAGGAGGCAAGGUAUGUGGACGACGCCUUGAAUGGACCGAUCAACGAGCCACAACCUUUUGCUCUCAAAGCCACAGGGAACAAGGAGGCGCUACCCAUCAAGGUGGCGCAAAUUGAGGCGGCCGGCCUUAAUGAAGAAGAAAUGGCCCUCAUUAUCAAGAGAUUCAAGACGGUGCUAAAGGGUCGCAAUGGACAGCCGAGCAAGACUAAGACCAAGGGGAAGCGAUCAUGCUUCAAAUGCGGUAAGCUUGGUCAUUUUAUUGCUAACUGUCCCGAUAAUGAUAGUGACCAGGAAAAGGGAAACAAGAGGGAAAAGAAGAAGCAUUACAAGAAGGCAAAGGGCGAGGCACAUCUAGGCAAGGAGUGGGACUCGGAUUGCUCCUCGUCCGACUCUGACAAUGAAGGACUCGCCGCCACCGCCUUCAACAAAUCAACCCUCUUCCCCAACGAGCGUCACACAUGCCUUAUGGCAAGGGAGAAGAAGGUAUGCAAUCAAAACAAUGUCACUUAUGAUUCUUCCAGUGAUGAUGAGUCUAGUGAUGAUGAAAUAGAUUAUUCAUGUUUAUUCAAGGGCUUAGAUAGAUCUAAGAUAGACAAAAUUAAUGAAUUAAUUGAUGCCUUGAAUGAAAAGAAUAUACUUUUAGAAAAGCAAGAGGAUUUGUUGUAUGAAGAACAUGAUAAGUUUGUAGAGGCUCAAAAAUCCCUUGCAUUAGAAAUUAAGAGGAAUGAAAUGCUUGCUUGUGAAGUGUCAUCAUGCCAUGAUUCUAUUUCUAACUUAAAGAGCAUAAACGAUGAUUUAAAUGCUAAACUAGUAGAAGCAAAUAAAUCCAACUCUUGUGUUGAAUGUGUUGAAGUUUGCACUAGGUGUAAGGAUGUUGAUAUUAAUGCUUGUAGUGAACACUUAGUUUCAAUUUCAAAACUAAAUGAUGAAGUGGCUAGUCUUAAUGCUCAACUUAAGACUAGCAAGAGUGAAGUUGAUAGAAUAAAAUUUGCAAGGGAUGCCUACACGGUUGGUAGACACCCCUCAAUUAAGGAUGGGCUUGGCUUCAAAAGGGAAGCCAAGAACUUAACAAGCCAUAAGGCUCCCAUUCCCGCCAAGGAGAAAGGGAAGGCCCCUAUGGCUAGUAGUGCAAAAAGGAACCAUGCCUUUAUGUACCAUGAUAGGAGACAUGCUAGAAAUGCUUGUAAUGAUUCAUAUGUUUAUGAUUCUCAUACCAUGUUUGCUCCUAGUUCUUCAUAUGUGUAUGAUAGAAAUGUUACCAGGAAAAAUGUUGUUCCUAAAAAGAAUGUUAUUCAUGCUCCUAGGAAAGUAGCAAAUGAACCUUCUACCAUUUAUUAUGCUUGCAAUGCUCCCUUUGCUAUUUGUAGAAAGGGUAAAAAGGUAAUUGCUAGGAAGUUAGGGGCAAGAUGCAAGGGAGAUAAAACUUGCAUUUGGGUCCCUAAGAAUAUUUGUGCUAACCUUGCAGGACCCAACAUGAGUUGGGUACCUAAAACCCAAGCCUAAAUUUGCCUUGCAGGUUUAUGCAUCCGGGGGUUCAAGCUGGAUUAUAGACAGCGGAUGCACAAACCAUAUGACGGGGGAGAAGAAGAUGUUCACCUCCUACGUCAAGAAUAAGGAUUCCCAAGAUUCAAUUAUAUUCGGUGAUGGGAAUCAAGGCAAGGUAAAAGGGUUAGGUAAAAUUGCAAUUUCUAAUGAGCACUCUAUAUCUAAUGUGUUUUUAGUAGAGUCUCUUGGUUAUAAUUUGCUAUCUGUCAGUCAAUUAUGCAACAUGGGGUAUAAUUGUCUAUUUACAAAUGUAGAUGUGUCUGUCUUUAGAAGAAGUGAUGGUUCACUAGCUUUUAAGGGUGUAUUAGACGGCAAACUUUACUUAGUUGAUUUUGCAAAAGAGGAGGCCGGUCUAGAUGCAUGCUUAAUUGCUAAGACUAGCAUGGGCUGGCUGUGGCAUCGCCGCUUAGCACAUGUGGGGAUGAAGAACCUUCACAAGCUUCUAAAGGGAGAACAUGUAAUAGGUCUAACUAAUGUUCAAUUUGAAAAAGAUAGACCUUGUGCAACUUGUCAAGCAGGGAAACAAGUAGGAGGCUCUCAUCACACCAAAAAUGUGAUGACGACAUCAAGACCCUUGGAGAUGCUGCAUAUGGACCUCUUCGGACCCGUCGCCUAUCUGAGCAUAGGAGGGAGUAAGUAUGGUCUAGUUAUUGUAGAUGAUUUUUCCCGCUUCACUUGGGUGUUCUUUUUGCAGGAUAAGUCUGAAACCCAAGGGACCCUCAAGCGCUUCCUCAGGAGGGCUCAAAAUGAGUUUGAGCUCAAAGUGAAAAAGAUAAGGAGCGACAACGGGUCCGAGUUCAAGAACCUUCAAGUGGAGGAGUUCCUUGAAGAGGAAGGGAUCAAGCACGAGUUCUCCGCUCCCUACACACCACAGCAAAAUGGUGUGGUAGAGAGGAAGAACAGGACGCUCAUCGACAUGGCGAGGACGAUGCUAGGAGAGUUCAAGACCCCCGAGUGCUUUUGGACGGAAGCCGUGAACACGGCUUGCCACGCCAUCAACAGGGUCUACCUUCAUCGCCUCCUCAAGAAGACGUCGUAUGAGCUACUAACCGGUAACAAACCCAAUGUAUCGUACUUUCGUGUAUUUGGGAGUAAAUGCUACAUUCUAGUGAAGAAGGGUAGGAAUUCUAAGUUUGCUCCCAAAGCUGUAGAAGGGUUUUUGUUAGGUUAUGACUCAAAUACAAAGGCGUAUAGAGUCUUCAACAAAUCAUCGGGUUUGGUUGAAGUCUCUAGUGACGUUGUAUUUGAUGAGACUAAUGGCUCUCCAAGAGAGCAAGUUGUUGAUUGUGAUGAUGUAGAUGAAGAAGACAUUCCAACGGCCGCCAUACGCACCAUGGCGAUUGGAGAAGUGCGGCCACAGGAACAAGAUGAGCAAGAUCAACCCUCUUCCUCAAUUAUGGUGAAUCCCCCGACUCAAGACGAUGAACAGGUUCAUCAAAAGGAGGCGUGUGAUCAAGGGGGAGCACAAGAUGAUCACGUAAUGGAGGAAAAGGCGCUACCGGCACCUCCAACCCAAGUUCGAGCGAUGAUUCAAAGGGAUCAUCCCGUCGACCAAAUUCUGGGUGACAUUAGCAAGGGAGUAACUACUCGGUCUCGAUUAGUUAAUUUUUGUGAGCAUUACUCCUUUGUCUCUUCUAUUGAGCCUUUCAGGGUAGAGGAGGCCUUGCUAGAUCCGGAUUGGGUGUUGGCCAUGCAAGAGGAGCUCAACAACUUCAAGCGCAAUGAAGUUUGGACACUGGUGCCUCGUCCGAAGCAAAAUGUUGUGGGAACCAAGUGGGUGUUCCGCAACAAACAGGAUGAGCACGGAGUGGUGACGAGGAACAAGGCUCGACUUGUGGCAAAAGGUUAUGCCCAAGUCGCAGGUUUGGACUUUGAGGAGACUUUCGCUCCUGUGGCUAGGCUAGAGUCCAUUCGUAUCUUGCUAGCAUAUGCCGCUCACCAUUCUUUCAGGUUGUACCAAAUGGAUGUGAAGAGCGCUUUCCUCAACGGGCCAAUCAAGGAGGAGGUGUACGUAGAGCAACCCCCUGGCUUUGAGGAUGAACGGUACCCCGACCAUGUGUGUAAGCUCUCUAAGGCGCUCUAUGGACUUAAGCAAGCCCCAAGAGCAUGGUAUGAAUGCCUUAGAGACUUUUUAAUAGCUAAUGCUUUCAAGGUUGGGAAAGCCGAUCCAACACUUUUUACAAAGACAUGUGAUGGUGAUUUGUUUGUGUGCCAAAUUUAUGUCGAUGACAUAAUAUUUGGUUCUACUAACCAAAAGUCUUGUGAAGAGUUUAGCAGGGUGAUGACGCAGAAAUUCGAGAUGUCGAUGAUGGGCGAGUUGAACUACUUCCUUGGGUUCCAAGUGAAGCAACUCAAGGACGGCACCUUCAUCUCCCAAACGAAGUACACGCAAGAUUUGCUAAAGCGGUUUGGGAUGAAGGACGCCAAGCCCGCAAAGACUCCGAUGGGGACCGACGGACACACAGACCUCAACAAAGGAGGUAAGUCUGUUGAUCAAAAAGCAUACCGGUCAAUGAUAGGGUCUUUACUUUAUUUAUGUGCUAGUAGACCGGACAUUAUGCUUAGUGUAUGCAUGUGUGCUAGAUUUCAAUCCGAUCCUAAGGAGUGUCACUUAGUGGCGGUGAAGCGAAUUCUUAGAUAUUUGGUUGCUACGCCUUGCUUCGGGCUCUGGUAUCCAAAAGGGUCUACCUUUGACUUAGUUGGAUACUCAGACUCCGACUAUGCUGGAUGUAAGGUCGAUAGGAAGAGUACAUCAGGGACGUGCCAAUUCUUAGGAAGGUCCCUGGUGUCAUGGAACUCUAAGAAACAAACCUCCGUUGCCCUAUCCACCGCUGAGGCCGAGUAUGUUGCCGCAGGACAGUGUUGCGCGCAACUACUUUGGAUGAGGCAAACCCUCCGGGACUUUGGCUACAAUCUGAGCAAAGUCCCACUCCUAUGUGAUAAUGAGAGUGCUAUCCGCAUGGCGGAAAAUCCUGUUGAACACAGCCGCACAAAGCACAUAGACAUCCGGCAUCACUUUCUGAGAGACCACCAGCAAAAGGGGGAUAUCGAAGUGUUUCAUGUUAGCACCGAGAACCAGCUAGCCGAUAUCUUUACCAAGCCUCUAGAUGAGAAGACCUUUUGCAGGCUGCGUAGUGAACUAAAUGUCUUAGAUUCGCGGAACCUGGAUUGAACUGUAGCAUACAUGUAUUUAUGCUUUUGAUCAUGUUCCUUUUUGCAUUUUGUUGCUUAUUAUGGUGCUCAAGUUGUACAAACACUCCCUGGACCUCACAAGUCCGUUGCAAAGUGAUGCACAUGUUUAGGGGGAGAUGUGUUACAACUUGACCCUUUGAGACUAACCAUGUGCUUGAGUUUGAUAAGUUAGUCUCGAAGGAGGAUUGAAAGGGAAAAGGUGGACUUGGACCAUGAAAGACUUCCACUGCACUCCGAUGAGAGGGUAACUAAUUCCAAGUUCAUCUCAUGAAAUCUUAUUGCCAUUUGCUCUUAAUUGAAGACUUUGGUGAGGCAAUGGGGUUCAAGGGCCAAGAUUGAUCCCGUUUUGGUGCUUGAUGCCAAAGGGGGAGAAAAUAAAGGCCAAAGCAAUAAAUGGAUCAGCUACCACUUGAGAGAUUUUGAAAAUAAUAGAGUAGAGUUUUUGUUUUGUCAAAUGCUUUUAUUGUCUCUCUUGUCAAAAGUUGGCUUCUUGUGGGGAGAAGUAGUAAUUAUGGAAAAAGGGGGAGUUUUUGAAAUCUUUGAUCAAUCUCUUUUGGAAAGACUCUCUUUAUGCUUCAACAUGUGUGUUUGACUUAGAGAUAGAGAUUUGAGUUUGAUUUGCAAAAACAAACCAAGUGGUGGCAAAGGAUGAUCCAUAUAUGCCAAAAUUGAAUAAAACUCAAAGAUAGUUUUUAUUUGAAGUAGUUUUGCACUUGUUCCACUUGCUUUAUGUUGUGUUGGCAUAAAUCACCAAAAAGGGGGAGAUUGAAAGGGAAAUGUGCCUUUGGGCCAUUUCUAAGUAUUUUGGUGAUUGAGUGCAAACACAAGUGCUUAAAUGUGAAAAUAUGCCCAAGGAUGAACAAAGUGCAAAUCACAAGUUAAGGUAUGUUUCUAAGCCUUAGUACAUUGGUUUGUGUACUAAUAUUCUUGUCUAAGUGUUAGAAACAGGAAGAAGAAAAGAAGUGGAGAGUGGCUGUGUGCAGUCAAAGGCUGCUUCGGGCUGGGGCACCGGACUGUCCGGUGUGCACCGGACAGUGUCCGGUGCGCCAGACCAGCGCGGAGCAAACCAGCCGCUCUCGGGUUUUUUCUCCGGCGACUUCGGCUAAAAUUCACCGGACUGUCCGGUGUGCACCGGACUGUCCGGUGAGCCAACGGUCGGCCGGGCCAACGGUCGGCCGCACGAUCACCGCGCGACACGUGGCCGAGCCAACGGUCGGAUGGAAGCACCGGACUGUCCGGUGUGCACCGGACUGUCCGGUGCGCCAGAUCUGCAGUAGUCGGCAACGGUCGGCUGCGCCUGUUAAGGAAAGAAAUCGGGCACCGGACAGUGUCCGGUGUGCACCGGACUGUCCGGUGCGCCCGACGACAGAAGGCAAGGAUGGCCUUCCAGAAUUGUUCUCAACGGCUCCUAGCUGCCUUGGGGCUAUAAAAGGGACCCCUAGGCGCAUGGAGGAAAUAACCAAGCAUUCCUUGAGCACUCUUGAUCACUCACACAUCAAUCUUGCGCACUUGUUCGACAUUCUAGUGAUUUGAGCUCCGUUCUAGUGUGCUAGUCUUUUGAGCUCAAGUCUGGGUCUUGGGUGUGCGUAUUCGCUGUGAUCUUUGUGUCGUGUGUGAGUUGCUAAUCCCUCCCUUGCUCUGUGAUUCUCUGUAAACAUCUUUUGUAAGGGCGAGAGGCUCCAAGUUGUGGAGAUUCCUCGCAAACGGGAUUGAGAAAAGAAAAGCAAGAACACCGUGGUAUUCAAGUUGAUCAUUGGAUCACUUGAGAGGAGUUGAGUGCAACUCUCGUCCGUUGGGACGCCACAACGUGGAGUAGGCAAGUUUUGUACUUGGCCGAACCACGGGAUAACCACCGUGUCAUCUCUGUGAUUGAUUUCUUGUGGUUAUUGUGUUUUGACUCCUCUCUAGCCACUUGGCCAUAAUUGUGCUAACACUUAACAAGUCUUUGUGGCUUAAGUUUUGAAGUUUUACAGGAUCACCUAUUCACCCCCCCCCCCUCU